GUAUGUCCUUUAUGUUAUUAUUCUUUAAUAUCAAAUAUAUGUUGAGUUAAUUCGAUCGUGAUACGAAGUUUACAUUUUCCUUCUCUUCCUCCUUGUUCCACUAUAAGGUACGUAGUAGUUUUCAAUAAUAACUGUCACUGGGUGGUGAUUAUUAGGUGUUCUCCUCCUGAGUUCUUAUGAAUCUGUAAGAUAUAAAUAGAUCGUCUAAGGUUGGUAUGUUGUAUGGUUAGAGACAUUUUUGCUUAAUAAUCCAGUAGGAAUCAAGGAGCUUGAAUAGUGAUGGAGAUAGCAAGAGUUCACCAUUAAAAUUUUCUAAUUCCACAUUUUUCUUACAAGAUUCCAAGACAUGUAUCUAGUGGCUGCUGUAUCUGCUAAACUGAUGUUUUCAAUCUCUAUGGCCAUUUGCAAUUAUUAUUACAUGUCCUAGCUUAUCUGGAUGAGAACAUUUUGAUCUAGUUGCUUGUGCGCUUGUUUGAUAUGAUUAUCUUUUCUGCUGCAAGAUUGUGCUUUUUUGAAAGGUUAUAUCUAUCUCUUACAUUGCAAAAUUAUGUGUGCAGCAAAGAGGCAUAUAGAAUUUGUCGGAUUUAAUCGUAGAAUUGUGUAUCAAGUUGGUUAUAUGCAUUAUCUCUCAUUUUCACUUGCACGAAGAACCACUAGCUUGUUUUGAGAUCAUGGGUAUACUAAUUUUUUUUUUUACUCAAUUCCUGUAGGAUCGUGUGUCAUUUAUACUACUUCUUGAGCAAAGUGUUUAUAUGCAUGACCAUUUUCACUUGCAGGAAGAACUCCUAGCUUUGUUAGUCUCUUAUUGUUCAGGUCAUGGGCAUAAUUUUUUUUUUUACCCAAUAUAAUAGUAAUCUGAAAGUCCAGUUGGACCUUGUUUCAUUGGUACUAUGUUGAGCAAGUUGGUUACAUGCAUCAUCUCCCAAUUUCGCAUGCAGGAAGUAAUCCUAGCUUGUUUGUCUCUUAAUGCUCAGAUCAUGGCCAUACUUUGUUUUGUUUUGUUUUUUACCCAGUAAUAGUAAUCUGAAAGUCUAGUAGGAUCUUGUUUCAUUGAUAUUACUUUAUUGAGCAACCAUAUAGCAUAGCAUCCAUAUAGCAUGUCCUAGCAUCUCCUCUAAGUGCUUACGGUAGAUUUCAUAUUCCGAAAUUCAAUCUUCAUAAAUUGAAAAUAAUUCAAGACCUUUUCAUUUUGUAGAAGCCAACUGUAGCGAAUGCGNAAGUGCUUACGGUAGAUUUCAUAUUCCGAAAUUCAAUCUUCAUAAAUUGAAAAUAAUUCAAGACCUUUUCAUUUUGUAGAAGCCAACUGUAGCGAGGGGGGGGGGUGGUUGGGGCUCUCACUUGAUAUGGCCUUUAAGAGAAAGAUACCGGAAUGCCAAGGCCUUUUCAAGAUUUCUAUUGGUCUUAAUUAUGAAUCUAAUUCAGCAGCAUGUGUGAUGGAUUUGAAAGAAGUUGAUUGUCAGCUUUUGCUUGGAAUUCAUUACUUCUUUGAAAAGCAAAAUAAGCAAUGCAAUAUUGGAAGGAAACCUAGUCGCUAUUUAUAGUGAGGAAUAUCUGUUUGCAGAAUGCAGAAACAAAUUUUUCAAGAGAAACACUAAGUCUACAACCCAAAAAGGUUGUGGGAUUGGCACCCCUAAUCCAAGGGUUGAAAUCAAAAUUCUUUGUAGAUUUUAGUAAUAAAAAAGGGGUGAUAAGACUAGUGAAAAAAUAUGGGCCCUUGGAUAAUAGAGUUGUACUAUUACAAUAGGUGAAGAAACUAGCAAAGUUUAAUGUAAAUAGGCAGAACUAAUACAGCGAAAGGUAGUUAGAGGCCUUUUUAUGCAAUAUUUUAAAAAGUAGAAAUAGUUUGUAGGCAAUAUAAAGCACCGUUUGUUUGUAGGCAGCAGAUAUGUAGGUGCAUAUGCAUCAUGUAUGAAUAAAAAUUAUCAAACAUAUGAUAAACAAUUAGAUGAUAAACAGAAAUAUUAGGAAGAAGGUCUUACCUACUGAAACAACAAAUAUAAGAGCAUUGCUAGGUCUACAACCCAUAUUGGGUUGUAAUCCUACAAUCACUCCAUCCAAAGCCCACUUUUCCUUUACAAAUCUUAUCACUCAGGACCCUUGGAUAAGGGAUUGUAGAGAUUACAACCCCUCUUUGGUUGUAGACUUAGCAUUUCUCUAGAUUUAAUGUAGGACACUGAAUAUUAUACAUGUGAACAUUUUACAUUACUUAUGAAAUAGAAAUACUACAAAUACAAGUAUGAAAUAAUAAUUAUUAAAAAAUAAUAAAUUUUUAAUAUCAAUUUUGAUUUUUGAGUGUUUGAGUUGCUAAUCAUAAACAUGUGCUCAACCUACUUGCGUUGCUUAAAAUGCAAGCUAGGAAGCAGCUAUCCAAUGUGCAUAUUAUGCAGUGCCUAUGCCGUUGGUGGUUGCUGCUAUGCAGAAGAGUUAAGCAACGUAUCCAUAUGUGCUGGUGCUUUUUAUAAGUAUCAUUUAGCAUAAUGUGAGCAUACACUUCUUUUUAUCUUCCUUCAUUUGAUAACAAGAGCAUAUGCUAGUUAGUUUUAGACUCUACUGCAUUACCUACUCUCAAAUUGCUGUAUUUAGUGGGUAUUAUGGUAUUUAACAAACAGAUUCUUUCAUUUCGAGAGGGAAAUGUAAAUCAUCAAACAUAUGAACUUUGGAUGACAUGGUUUGCAAGAUUAAUUUUGCUUGAUUCACAUGAUGCAACCUAGAAAAGUUUAAAAAUCGUAUAGCGUCUUGAAACGUGUUAAAUUUUGUCCUUAAUCUCUCUUGUUCUUACCACAUGGUAAGAUCCUGGGUUGAUCAGCCUACAGAUUUUCAUUCACCGAGGCAGCCUGUUGCUAGUUAAGUUGCCAACUGUUAAGAACCUGGCAUCCUUAAUUGUUGGCAUAUAGAGUUAACAUUGUAGUUAGCUUCUUUGUCAAGUUGGAUGGUCCAUUUUUUUGUAUGAAAAACAUUAUUUUUUUUUUCUUGCUAACUGAUAUUGAUGCAAUUUGGAAAGGAGAAUUUAUGUUGGAAGUGUAACAUGAUGAUUGUAUAAAGGAUGUAGAAAUAAAAUUACACGGUCUGGAUUUUUGUAGAGUUGUACUUGGGAUAAGAGUUCCUAGCUAGGUAUUGUGAAAAUAAGCUUUUAUUGUAACCUAGCUAACAGUUGCAGCAUAUAUUAUAAUUUAGUUUUUUGAGUAUUAUUUUUAGACUGUUGACUUGAUGAAGCAAUUUAACUUGAGCGAUAAAACUAUCAAAAUAUUGUAGAUUCUUCCGUAAAGUUGAAAAUCUAAAAAAUGCCCAAUAAUUCUAUUUUUUCCAUAAUAGAUGCUUAUGUUGUUAGCUAUUCUUAGCAAGCAUAUCAACAAUCCUUGGGUCCGGUGCUUGUCAAUUAAGAGUUGAAUAUCACAAUAGCUCAAACUGUUUUCUUCUUCAUAAUCUCUGUCAUCCCUUUUUACUCCCAAUCCUUUCCAUUAAACAUAUUCAGUGGCAGUUCUGUGAGCUAUUAAUUCUUGUAACAAGCCUAGCAGGCUUUACCUCCUCCCGAAAGCUGCCACAGGUACUGAUUGUAAGCUGCCAUCAUCUAGGCUUGUUCCUCCCUCCGUGGCGGAGGAAUGAACUGCCUGGGAGAAACAGUUGCUACCCUUGAUUGUGUUAGCAUCUUCUCCUAUCAAGGGUGAAUUAAAAUUUCUUUGCUCAUGCAUCUUCCCUGCAAUCUCUAGACAAUGACCUAUCCACCCACGUUAUAUAUCUUGUGACCCAACAUACUCUAGUCUGCUUUGUUCAAAAUAUGUGGAGGCACUUAUUAAGUAUUGGAUUUUCGGAAGUUAAGGGCAUUCAAAAAGCAUAAGAGUAGACCAUUGGGAAUUUCAAGUACAUUUGUAGCAGCAUCUUCCUCGGGGUCAAUAGGAUUUAAAUUUUGUUUUUCUACAUAUGGUUGGACUAUAUCUAUAAAAGGUAUUGAUGAUGAUCCGUUUUGCUACAUAUGGAUAUAAUAAUAACUGUAGGUUAUUUAUGAUAUUUAAUUUCAGGACUUGUCAUAAUGGUUUGCUUCUGAGCACCAAUCAUUUCUUACAAGUAGAGAAAUUUAUCCUUUCCCUAUGUUUUGUUGAGGUCUUCGCAUAUUUGAUUUGAUCUGCUUUGUUGUUUCCUAUUCCCUCUCUUAUGAAGUGAUGCUUGAUUGUAAUAUACUUUGUUUGGCUGUCACUGAUAGUGUUUUUGGUCAUUGAAUUGUCACGAAAGGUUAUAUCAGCUUCCUCGUGUUUUCUCUAUUAUCUUUCAAAAUUCUUCAAAAUCAUUAGGCUUGAGAAGUUACAUUGCUGGUACAAACAUAUUUAGUGUUAGGCCAACGUAAUGGUACCCUUUUUUAUUCUUGUUUAAUGUGUAAAAUGUAAACCAGAUCCAGGAGAAUUUCCAUAUUUGAAGGUGCUUCUCAUACUAUUUAUGUUUUUGGCCCAACCACCAUCACAAUUACAAAGCAACAUAAUUUUUGUAAGUUUUUCCAUGCAUGCUUCUGUUGUUACCAGUCUAUUUAAUGUAUCUUUAACCUUUUUUUCUCAAUAAGAAAAUGAAUUUAUGCUGCUUUUUGCAUGAAGUAGGAAGAUAAGCAAGUUGUGGCAUAAUAUUCGAUUUGCGAACAGGAUGCAUAGCUUCCUAUUCUAAGUUGUCUUGUAAGUUUUUCAAUGACAACCAAAGUUGCCGGCAUUGUCUUGUAAGUUUUUCAAUCACAACCAAAGUUGACGACGUCAUCUUGUAAGUUUUUCAAUCACAACCAAAGUUGCUGACAUCGUCUUGUAGUUAUUCACUCAGAGCCUUUUAAGAUGCUCUUCACAUAGUUGUUAUGCCGAAUGAAAGAGAUUUUUAUUUGGGAAAAGUAUAUAAAAGAGCCUUUUUGGUGAGCAUAAUAAAUAUUUGGUCUCCAAAAGUCGUAAGCAUCAAAAAUGCCCUUCUAAUUAUGAUCCUUUUAAGUAUUAGUAUAUCAAGUUCUUCAUUGAAAUACCCAUUGUGCUGUUUUUUUUAUUCGUCGGUCCUCCCAACCAUAGGUGCACCCUAUCUACCGUCUUCAAACGUCUCCUCUCUCCCUUUGGUAGUGUUUGUUUGGUAGUAGAAUAAGGAGAGAAUAAUUAAACAUCUCUUUGACAAUUGAAAAUAGGAAGAAGAUCCAGAGCAAGAACAUAUAUAAUGAAAAACAUACAUUUGUAAGCUAAAAUAGUGAAUACAUAAAUUUGUAAGCUAGGAUGAUAAAAACGUAAAUCUCUAAGUAAAUAUUAAACUAAUAUUUAAACCAUGGUUAAAGAUAUGUUUGCUGAUGGAUUAUAAUGGCUAGGGCAUUUGUGCUGGAGCAUCCAAGAUAUUUUAAACUCCUUAGGGGAAUUAAUGAUAGCUUCAUACUUUUGACCAGCAUGAGUGAAAUUGACCAUUUCCAUUUUAAUGUAAUCGACUAAGAAAUAGUGAGGCCUAAAUUACUCGUUUGUAUUUUGCAUUGUUUCAUUUAAAUUCUAGAAUCAUUUCUUGUUCUUUUCUUGAAAAGCAUCAAAUCAUUAUUAUGAAAGCAAUAAGCUUAAAAAUUGUUUAAAUUAUUUGAAGUUAUUUUGGGAGAUUGUGCAUUUAUUGUUUACCCCACCACCAGCACCACUCCAAAAGGAGCCUCUUUUGCCCACCAUCGGGCACCGGGCUGCAGUGGAUCUUCUUCUGUAUGAACGAGAUCACCCAAAGCUACAUGAGAAAUUCAUCGGCCAUUUUGAUGUGGCAUUACAAAAAGCAUAUAAGUUUGAGAGUGUAGAAUUUAAUUACUUUGUUUCUCGUUGUCCCAAUGAAGACUUUACUAGUGUUAUUUGGUAGCGACAAAAGUAGAGAGUAGUUUGAAGUGCAAAUUGAUCUACCAGUAUUGCGAACUAAUUUUAGAUUAGGAUAUAAAGGAGUGGAUACUGGAGUACAAUCAAAAUAACCAAAUUUUCUAAGAAUCUUUUCGAUAUAAUGAGACUGGAUUAAAAAUAAACCAUUAUUUUCACGAAUAAUUUUAAUUCCCAAAAUAAUAUCAGCCUCCCCCAUAUCUUUCAUAUCAAAAUUGCAAGAUAAAAAAUUCUUAGUGUUUUCUACUUGUUGAAUAUCGGUAAAUUAACAUGUCAUCAACAUACAGACAUAUAAUAACACCUUUACCAUUUGAAAAUUUACUAUAGACACAUUUAUCAGAUUGAUUAAUUUUAUAACCAUUGGAAAGAACAAUCUAAUCAAACUUUUGAUGCCAUUGUUUAGGUGCUUGUUUAAGCCCAUACAACGACUUAACAAGUUUACACAUUUUAUACUCUUGUCCAGGAACAACAAAGCCCUCGGGUUGUUCCAUAUAAACUUCUUUAUCUAAUUCUCUAUUUAAGAAUGCAGUUUUGACAUCCAUUUGAUGAAUAAUCAAACUAUACAUAGAAGCAAGAGCAAUCAAAGUUCUAAUAGUCGCUAAUCUGGCAACAGGUGCAUAAGUAUCAAAAUAAUCAAUGCCUUCUUUUUGUGUAAACCCUUUGGCAACAAGUCUUGCCUUGAAUUUAUCUAUGGUGCCAUUUACUUUGAUAUUCUUUUUGAAAAUCCAUUUACACCUAAUAGGUUUACAUCCAGGAGGAAGAUCAACUAAUUUCCAUAUUUGGUUGACCAUAAUUGAGUCCAUUUCAUUAUUUAUCGCUUCUUUCCAAAAAGCGACAUCAGCAGAUUCCAUUGCCUCCUCAAAUAUUGUGGGGGUCUGAGUCAAUGUUUAAACAAAAUUGAAAACUUUCUGUAAUCAUUUCUCUACUACCCUCAACAAGAAAAGUAUAAAAAUUUGGUCCAAAUAUUUUAGCAAUUCUAACUCUUUUACUUCUUCUAAGUUCUGGGGUUUCAAUUGCAACAUCAUUUUUCUCAUUGGAGUGUUCUUUACUCAAAAUAAGUUCUUUGGGUCUAGGAAUUGAAACAAAUCUGUUUUCAUCAAAUAUAACAUCUCUAGAUUCAAAAACUGUGUUGAUCUCAAUGAAGUCAUUAGAUUCAAUCACGUAAAAUCUGUAUGCUUUACUAUGUUGUGCAUACCCAAUAAAUAUGCACUCAAUUCCUCUUUCACCCAGUUUCUUUCUUUUCGGUUCUGGAACCCUCACAAUAGCUCUACAACCCCAAACUUUUAAAUAAUUUAAAUUGGCGUUUCUUCCCUUAAAUAAUUCAUAAGGAGUUUUAUCAUUCUUCUUUGUUGGGAUUCUAUUUAGUAGAUGGCAGGCUGUUAAUAAAGCUUCACCCAAAAAUUCAUAACUUAACCCAAAGUUAGAAAGCAUAGCAUUGACCAUUUCCAUCAAUGUUCUAUUUUUUCUUUCUACAACUCCGUUUUGUUGUAGAGUAUAAGGUGCAGAGGUUUCAUGUAUAAUACCAAUGGACCCAAAAAAUAAAGGAUCAUAAUAUUUUCCUUUGUCUGAUCUUAGGUAUUUGACCAUUUUCUCACAUUUCACCUCAACUUCAGAUUUAUAAAUUCUAAAUUUAUCUAGCGCUUCGUUUUUAGAAUGCAAAAGAUAAACAUAACUAUUUCUAGAAAAAUUAUCAAUAAAUGUAACAAAAUAUUUCUUUCCACCAAUAGUAGGAGAAGCAUGCAAGUCACAAAUAUCACUAUGUACCAAUUCAAGUAGAGUAAAACAUCUAUCAAUUUUAGAAAAAGACUUUCUAGUAAUUUUAGUGAGCAUGUAAGUAUUAAUUUUUCUAAUUUAUUAUCAAAAUUAGGAAUUAAAUCUAACGUAGUCAUAUCAUGUAAUCUUCUAUAAUUAACAUGUCCUAAACGAUUAUGCCAUAAAGAAGACGAGUCAGUAAUAUAGGAUGAAAUAUUCAUUUUAUUAAUAAGAUUGAGUUUGAACAUGCCCUUGAACAAAUAUCCUUUUCCUACAAAGAUUCCACUCUUCGACAAAAUAAAUUUGUCGGCCUCAAAUACAAGUUUGAACCCAAAUUUGUUAAGAAGACUUCUUGAAACAAGAUUCUUUCUAACUUCGGGUAUAUGAUACAAAUCGGUGAGAGUGAGAGUUUUUCCUGAUGUGAACUCGAGUUCCACGUUGCCCUUUCCUUUGAUUUGUGCUAUUGAGGAAUUGCCCAUAUAGAGAAUGUUUCCAUCCUCCAAUGCAUCAUAAGUUCUAAAUAAACUUCUCUCCUUGCACACAUGCCUUGUGGAACCUGAAUCAAUCCACCAAGCUCCGUCAUCUUCGAGUAUGUUAGCCUCAGAUAUCAUAGCCACAAAAUUUCCUUUGGAAUCCGGUGCACUUUCCCUGUUGAGGAACUGACAUUCUUUCUUGUAGUGACCCGGUUUACCACAAUGAAAGCAUGCAGCUUUCUUUUUCUUAUUUGUCAUGUUGUGGUUGAUCGGAUGCUUGGCUCUCUUUCGAUUUUCUUUUGUGGGUUGACGAGUUUUAUUAUACUCAUCUUCCGUCACAUACACUUUGGCACUCUGAGCAUCUUGCUCCUUUUUGCUAUAUUUCAAACGAUAUUUUUCUUCCAUGCGAAGAUGAUUAGCCAAAUCUUUAAGAGUAAUAUCUUUCUUUUUAUGCUUAAGAUUUUUCUUAAAGUCUUUCCAUGAUAGAGAAAGUUUAUUGAUAAUAGAGGCCACAAUUAUAAAUUCAUCCAUAUUCAUAUUAUGUUGAGUAAAUUGAUUGAGAAUAUGUUGAAUUUCAUGUAACUGAUCUAGAACAGAUCUACUAUCAACCAUUUUAUAGUUAUUAAAUUUGCAAACAAGAAACUUCUUACUUGUGCAUCCUUAGAUUUGUAUUUUACUUCAAGACCUUCCACAGUUCUUUAGCCGUUAUUACAUUCUGUUAGACGUCGAAAAGCGCAUCCGACAUAGCAUUUAGAAUGUUGCCUCGGCAUAUAUUGUCAUCUUCAACCUAUUUUUGUCUUCUACGAGUUUGUACAAUAGGUUCAUCAUCGUUUUCUUCUGGUCUUGGAGUAGUGAGGACAUAAGCAACUUCGAGAGUCGACAGAAGGAAAUAUAAUUUCUUUUGCCAGCGCCUGAAGUCCAUGCCAUCAAAUCUUUCUAGUUUGAUAAAGUUUGUUGCCAUCUCUUGUAGAGUAGCAGUCGACAUUAUCGGAUUUAAGCCUUAAGAUUGUUGGAACAGAUAGUGAAAAAGGUAUGAAAUAGAAAGAUGAAAAAGGCUUCAAGGCAUGUAGCAAUGCCACUUCUUAAGGCUUAAUUCGUCCCCACCGUUCAAUCAAUUUGGUGUGCACCGGGUCAACGAACACCCUCCCAAGAUACAAUGAAGCAUAAACCUCAACUACGUUUGCACACACGAAGUCAAGCCUUUGAGCACUCACUCGAUUAAGUUGUCAAAAAAAAAGAAAUAAGAAUGGAAUUAUUAUGAAUGGAGAGUUAAACUCUUCAACUAUUUCGUCUUAUGUUUCUGCAACCAACGCUGUGGACUUAUAUAGACCACGAACGGGUGCUUCAUGAAGUGACUAUUCAUGAACGGGUGUUUCAUGAAGUGGCCAUUCAAUUGUGACUUUUUAUUUGAUCAUAACUACCAAUUAGUUUUAUGAGUCAAAUUUAAUGAAUGUAAGAAUUAAUUUCAACGGACAUAUACUCGAAGAGACACACUAUAAAGAUGUGUCUUUUCAUGUCAUAUCCUUACACUAAAAGUCACAUCCUUUCACUCUAAGAGUCACACCCUUUGAUUAGAGUUGCAUCCACUCACUAAGGGUUGCAUCCACUCACUAAAGGUUGCAUCGAUUCACUAAGGAUCGCAUUCAUUCACUAAAAAUCAAUAAACAAAAUAUAUUAUUUUAAAAUUUUUCUUACACUUUACAACCUUCAUUAGCUAAUAGAAAAGCAUCCAAGAUGACCUCUUCUUCAGAAAUGUCGAUUAGGAUGUAGAAAUAAUUCCGUGCAAAGCUUUUUUAAGUCUUUUUUUUUAGGACCUUCGAAACUAUUUUGUGUAUUCCUCUUUAGUUUGCUUAUAAGCCCAAAAUUGUUAGCUUGCACAACUCCCUCAGUUUUGUGCAAUAGGUAAAUGUAAGAGUAGUCAAUAGGACAUGUGAGGGAUCUCCCCUCAUGAAUCUCUAAAGAUAAUAUAAUUAGGGAGGAAGAUAAUUAGUAAAAUUUAGACUACAAACACCACAAACCCUUUGUAAAUACAUUUUUUUUACUUUUUUUCCCUUGACUUUUGAAAACUUUUACAUUUUGCUCUCUUAAAAUUUUAGAAAUAUUUUGACAAGUUUACGGUGUUAAUGGAGAGGCUAAAAUGAUCAAAUUACCCUUGCUUGUUCUAGAAGAAAAAAUAAUUUUUAAAUAUAUACUACAUUUUAAAGAGCAUUUUUUGUAUAAAUGUAUGAAAUAAGAUGAAACAGUGAUGGAAUCCUGACGAAGAUGGGUCUACAAAAUGCAUCAACUUGAAAUUUUAAGUAAGUAAAAUAUAGGUUUUUGAAAGUUAAGAGAAAAACCAAAAAAAAAUGCUUAUGUAAGGAUUUUCAAUAUUUUAGCCUAAAAUUUACUGUACAGAAAUUUUAGUGAACCUUUUACUACUAUUAAUUAUUCAAACAUGCUAUGAAGGUUAAUAGUAUUGAGACAUUAGUGAAGGAUCAAAUGGCAACUAAGAGGGAAGGGAGUGAAUUAGUAGGAAAACAAAACCCAAGUAGAUUUUAUUGAAGAUAGUAAUUGUACAGCAAAAUAAAAGAAAAAAAAAGAGAAACAAACUUAGAUGACACAAAUAAAUUAUCCUAGUUCGGCCAUUUUGCCUACUCUAGUCCGAUCCUUCUACUCUUCAAGGUACUCAUUUAAUCACUAUCAUUUUGUCUUUGAAACAGGGCAAGACCGAAACCGCUUACAAUUACACUUUACAAGACUUCUAUUACAAUCUUUCAAUAAAGCUCAUAAUUAUAAAAUAAAGAACAAAAGAACAAUUAAUUAUAACUUACAAAUUUUUUUCCAAUUUGAAGGUUUGGCUUAAACAUUAUCCAAACCCCCUCUUUAAAUAUGUUACUCAUCAUUUCAAAUUUAUAAAAGAAGUAUGAUAUAAGGUUAAUUGAUUUUCAUUUGAAUUUCAACCAUAUUUGUAAAUGCAUUUUAAUUAAUACCAUAUUCCAAAUUUUUUUAAAGUCACACCUCAUUUGCAAAGCAUAUUUGAAAUUAUACUACAUUUGAAAAGCCAUUUGAAAUGAUAGCACAUUUGUAAAACUCUUUUGAAUUAUUACCACAAAUGCUAAGCUCUUUUAAAUUCAUUUGUAAAAUGCUUUUGAAUUAAUACUACAUUUAUAGAACUCUUUUGAGUUAAUACCACAUUUGUAAAACACUUCGAUCUUUUUGAAAUCAUCCCAUAAUGAAAUCACUUUUGAAUUUAAACUAUAUAUCAGACCUCUUUUAAUUCCAUACUACAUUAAAAAUAAUGGUUAAUUUUUUAUUAAGUUUAAAUCAAACCUAUGUGGUAGCUAGAUUUGUUAACUUCGUUAAGUUUACGGGCUCAAAUUCGAUAAAAGUACAAAGAAGCCCGCCAUAAUAUUGUUGUGGUACUUGCAUCCAAUUUGAUACAAUUUGAUUUUGUCCGGGCUAUUUUGAAAUUUUUGAUUGAACGACUAUCUUUGAUCAAUUUUGGUUCGGCUUGUGUCAUUUCAAAUCCAACUAAAACCUGAAAUUACUAUGCAAAAAAGUAAAUCCAAAAUUUAUUUGUAAUCAUCAAAAUUAUCAUUGCAUAAAAUCCAACACGUGGUGCUAUAGAGUCAUUUUCGAUGAUAUAGUAUCCAAAUUGAUAAUUGACACUGUUGAAGAUUGACGUCCUAGGACUACUCCCAUCCUAUCAUACUUAACUCUUUUAAUCUUUUGGACCUAGUCACCACCCAAAAUGAUUAAGAUGGAUUGAGAGUUUUAACCCUAUUAUAUCUUAUAUAUAGAACUACCUGGGGUCUCACAUUCUCCUUGCCUUAAGCCCUGACGUCCUCGUCAGGCUGAGACUCACAAGUACGAGGCGAUGUAAGACUCGUCUCGCUAACCUAAACCGACCUUAUGGUGAGUUGCGCUCCACCCAUAACAGUCAACAGCAUGAGAGCCUCGCUCUCCCCGUUGUACAAUCUUUGCUCAACCGAGACUAAUCUCAUACUUCCAGCUGGUAAUUAGCUCUGAUUCCAACUGUGACGCCCCACUUUCCAAAGCGUCACCCAUCCUAGGAUUACUCUAGUCCUAGCACGCUUAACUCUCUUAACCUCUUAGACCUAACUACCGCCCAAAAUGCUAUAGCGGGGUUAAGAGGUUUUAGCCCUAUUAUAUCUUACAUAUAGGACUACUUAGGGUUUCACAUUCUCUCAUUCUUUAAGCCUUGAUGUCCUCGUCAAGCUCAGACUCACAAGUAUCAGUCAAUGUAAGAUUCUGUCUCUGAAGCCUAAACCAACUAUGUGGUGAGCUGCGCUUCACCCAGAAUAGUCAUCAGCAUAAGAGCCUCGCUCUCGCCGCUGUAUAACCUGGCUCAGCCGAGACUUAUCUCACAUUUUCGGCUGGUAAUUGGCUCUAAUACCAACUAUGACGCCCCACUUCCUAAGGGGUCACCCCUAAUCCUAGCACGCUUAACUCUCUUAACCUCUUGGGCUGCACCUACUGCCCAAAAUGCUAUAUCCGGGCUAAAAGGAGAAUGAAACUGUUUUAACGGGAGAAGAAACUAUAACGCCCCAAAAUUUGACUAUAAAUGUUUAAAAAGAUUUCAAAAUAAUUUUAGAGGAUGAUGGCCAGUUUUAUAUGAUUUUGAACUCAAAUUGAGUCAAAAUGAAUUGUUUGAGGACGAAAAUUUCAAAACAGUUGAGUCUAAUCUGCCAUUGCACAAAUAGCCAUUUUGGAAAAACUUUUAACUAGGUUAUUGACAUCAGAUUUGGGCAAAAUUGGUCUCAUUGGAAAGAUCGUUGAGUUAUCUUUCUAACGCAACGUGAAUCUCCUUAAACGGAUAUCGGACGAAAGAGUUAUUUCAAUUUUUCUGACAGUCGUCGAUGCAGUCCUGAGCUUUGAGCUAGUUUGGGACUUUACCAUUUGUUAUGGGCUGUUUGGUAAAUUUGCUAAUUAAAAUUAUAACAUAUCAACUUAGGUGGUUAACUAUUAGUCCAACCAUAAUUUUUUCCAAGAAAAUGUUGAGUAAAAUGACUGAAACUCUUUUAAAUGGGCUGGUUUGAAUGGGAGAAGAGAAAAACUGUUUUAUUCCUAUUCUCAUCUUCUUUUUCCUAUUUUCCCUUCCUCUCAAUACCCUAGUUCUUCUCUCUUUUAUUCAGCAAUGAGAAGAAGGAUUUCUCCUUCAAAUUGAAGGAAUUUAGAAGGAGACUUUUGGAGAAGGAAACCCAUUUUCAAGUUAAAACUCUAGCUAGAGAACAAAGUAAGUAGAUUUUCGAUUUUGUACUUUGUAAAUAUCAAAGAGUGAAUAUUUUACGUUGCAUGCAUGUUUUUCUAUUCUCUUUGAAGGUCCCAAUCUAUCUUUUAUGAAUUGACUAUAGUUUUUGAAGAUUUUAUGACACUAUAUUCAAAUAUUGAAGCCCUAAAUUAGGGGUUUAUGCCCUAUUACGAGAUUUCCUUGUAAUUUUAGGGUUGGGACCCUAAGAGCCCAAGAUGAGAUCUUGAUCGUUAACUUUUAGUUCUUUCAACUUGAAUUUGGAGGCCAAUAUAUAGUUAUAUGAAUUGCCUUUGUUUUUAAGAGUUUUUGAUGAGUUACUUGUGUUUUAUGAGGCUUCAAAAUUGGGAUUUUGAUCAACUAGGAGAUUAAACUUUUAUAGUUGAUUUUAAGAGUUUAAAAUACUUAAAUUGAGAUGUCAAUCUUGUUCAAAUGUAUUGGAAAUGAAUGUAUGAUUGAGCUAAGUUGUUUGAUCAAAUUUGAACUUAGUUUGUUAAUAUUUCGUCCAAUUUAUGCUAUUUUCAAGUUGGACUUUUCCGAUUAGUUUUCGGAGGGUAAAAACAUCUUGUUAAGGUGUCGUUUGUUAAAAUUAAGUAUUCCAAACCCUUCUAUAGGAUUUAAAUGAGUUAUUUUAAGGUUGUUAUCUAUUUUGAGAGAGUUAAGCAUGCUAGGACUAGAGUAGUCCUAGAAUAAGUGAUUUCCUGGAAAAUGGGGCGUCAUAGUUGGUAUCAGAGUUAAUUACCAGCUGGAAGUGUGAGAUUAGUCUUGGUUGAGCCAGGAUUAUAUAGCGGGGGGAGUGAGGCUUUCAUGCUGUUGACUGUUGUGUGUUGAGCCCAGCUCACCACAAAGUCGGUUUAGGCUAGCAAGACUAGUCUCACAUCGCCUGAUAUUUGUGAGUUUAAGCCUGACGAGAACGUCAGGACUUAAAGAGGGAAAGAAUGUGAGACCUCAAGUGGUCCUAUAUGUAAGAUAUAAUAGGGCUAAAAUCUUUUAACCCGUCUAUAGCAUUUUGGGCGGUGGCUAAGUCCAAGAGGUUAAGAGAGUUAAGCGUGUGAGGACUAGAGUAGUCCUAGAAUGGGUGACCUCCAGGGAAUUGCGGCGUCACAAAAAUGAUCUCAUAAAUUGAACGCCUUAGGUAUCAAUUUCAUGACUUCUCAAUGUCAUCUAUAUAGUGACCAAGCAAUCAUAAAGUGACAAUUUUAAUGGCCCACAUUAGACCUUUUCUAAUUUAACGGUAUUGAAGAAUGCAAAUCGGUAUUCUUUUAACCGAAUUGAUCAAAAUCUACAGCCCUGAUCUUGAAUUUAAUAAUUCUAUCAUCUAUUCUAAAUAAUUGUUUGAUUAUGACUGUUUAUUUUGUGGUUGCUUGAAGUAGAAAAUGAUUCUAAAAAAUUGUGAUCGAACUUGAUUCUUACAAAGUUCAAAUGUCUUAGAUAAUGUUUUCGAUCGUCAAUUCAGAUGCCUCAUCUUUGAAAACGAGUGUAUAGAAAAAAAACGAAGGCCUUGGUGCAAUUAAUAGAACCCUAAUUCGAUUCAUUCAAGCCUUUCUAGCACGCCUCUUCUGUUAAUUGGUUUUUACCGUGUUCCUUGAAUCUUUGGUGGCUUUCAGAGUCUGAUCUGCAUAGACAUAUAUGAAAAACAACAAAUUUUCUCUAGUUAAGGAUGUCAAUUAGAUUUCUCUCAGCUGAAUUAUGGCUACUACCACAAUUUUGAUCUCACCAGUACUUUUUUUUUUUGGGCAGCAGGGCCCCAUGCAGGUAAACAAAGCUUUAUGAAGGGACUUCACUUCCUGAUUUUGGAUGAACUGUUUCCACAAGUCUUAUGAGAUGAUUAUUUGUACUUCAGUGUAUGCUUCCGAUUAUGCUUCCGAUUUUUCCUGUUAUGUUUCCUAAUCCAUUAGCGUGCGUAGCACUGUUUAAAUCAACAAGGAAACUGUGGAUAGAGAUGAAUUAUCCAAUGUUACAUAUAAUACACUCGAAGAUGGUAAAAGGGAACUAGAAUCUGAAGGAAGCUAGCUAUAACAUAAUUGAUAUUAUCGAAACUACUUGUCGAUUAAUCAACAAAAAAUAUGUUUUGAUUGUACCAUUUAAUAUGUUAGUACUCGAUCAGAAUGUCUUUCUGGACCAAAGGGUCCAAUAUAUGUUAGAUCAGAAGUUGAACUGAUAUAAGUUGGUUCUAAUGUAUCAAUGGAAAUACAUGAUGAACAUUCAUUAAUUGAAGAAUUUUGUGAGAAAAUAUGCCUAUUUAAGCCAUGUAGCAUUUAAGAUUUACUUAUCGAUGAGUCUAAACCCAUUUGCAAGGUAUGUUGUCAUGUUGUUGUAUAAUUAGAUUCUAUUAUUUGUAGGAUGAUUUUUAGACCUUUAUACAUCCAUUGAGGCAUUACAUCAGCUAUUUCAUCACUAAACCGAUAUGAUCGAGAGGUGUUAUGUAUUAAUUCGUUACUUGGCAAUUUUAAAAUAAGGUUAUUUAUUUUGCUAAGUUUGGAAGUGUAUUUAUAAUCAUGCAAUGUUUCGAACACAAUUGAUGGGAAGAAGGAUAGUUAAUAUCGCUGUAAAAGAACAAACUUCCAUCAAAAGUGAAUGAAGCGCGCCAGUUCAAAGUGAAUGAUUUUACUUAGUAAGACCAGCAGAAGAGGAGAAUCACGAGAGGUAUGCAUGAGAGUUAUCAAAAUCUUUGAUGCAUUCAGUAAAUAAAGUGUGUGUGUCAAACAAAGAUUUACACAGAGAAAUCCAUCAUUUUGCACGAAAAAUAGUGCGAAUCACCAAAAUUUCACUUGUUUAACAUCAAAAUAUUUUGCUGUUAGUGCCAAAAACUUCAAAACCAUGCCCAUAGUUGUUGUUUUGGUGUUGUUUUUCCUAUUAGAAUCAAUCUGCAUAAACAACGAUUUCAAGUUCUGUUUUGAUCUGUUGCAUCUUUUAAGAACACUUUCUCUAAAUAUUUUGUGUUUUCUAAGUUCAAGCCCUUCAUUCUUUGUUUCAUUAAUUGAUGUGUUAUUAUCUACUUAUCUCUUGGUAUUGCCAUUCUGGUUUCUGAAAAGCUUUAGUUUCUGUAAUUUUUGUGACCAUGCUAAUUCACUCCCAUGAUUUCCAUCAGGAGGGUUGAAGUGUAUAAGUAUUGUCAUCCAUUGAUACUCGACUGAUCUCAGUGUCGAAGCUCAGGACCUUAUGCUCUGAUAUUCAUUGCUCUGAUAUUCAUUGAUAUGACCAUGUUCGCAUGCAGCGUGUGUUGAUAAAUUUUUUGUAACAAAUUAGAUUAGCAAUAUAUCGUGGGAAAAAUUUUUGCUCCGACUGUGUAUUUCUUGUGGCGUGCAAGUGAACAAUACCUGACGUGACUAUGAAAAAGUUGUAAUGGAUUAUGAGAAUUGUAUUUUCCCUUUCCGGAAAGAGUACGUACAGUGAAAGCAAAAUUGUUUCUCUUUAAUUAAUUAGAUACAUGUUGUAUAAGUUUUGCGAAUUAUGAAUCUGAAUUUUGGUGUGUUUGUUCUCGCUACUGUGUUUUGUUUUAUUUUAUUAAGUGAAAUCUGUUUUCUUGCUUAGUCAAAUUAAAUGUUUGGCUUUGACAAUUCAAAAUGUUUUAUUUUAUCGUAAAGGGGUGUUUGGUUCCUCUGAAAAAAUAUUCUAGAAAAUAGUUUUAUAGCCGAAAAGGUGAACAAUAUGUGCUAGGGCUUUUUUUGCAUUUAGACCCCUGACAAAUUUUUAUUUUAAAAAUAGCCCUGUCAAAAUUUAAUUUGCAAAAAUGGCCCUCGACCUGCCACGCAGGCGCCACGUCAGCGCCACGCGGGCAGGGCUGUGCCCGUGUGUUAAGUUGAACACGGUGAACCAUUCACCGUGUUCAAACACGGUGAAUGGUUCACCGUGUUUAGUACGUAUUUUUUGUUACGUAUUUUUUGUAUAUUGAAAAGUGGAAUAAGGAGUAGGGAUGUCAAUAGAUAUGGAUAUCCGAAAUAUUAUNNNNNNNNNNUGAAAGAAGUAACAGAUAUGAAAACUGUAAAUAUGCAUGCAUGCUUUUCAUUAACUUUACCCAAUCUUUUGGUUAACCCUCUGGUUAACAGCUGGACAAGUACGUUAGUCCAUAAAUUUACCGAAUGCAGUGGUUAACCCUUUGGUUAACAAUAACUCACCAACGAAAUCCCUCACGGGCCCUAAGCUGCCUCCCGAUGGGACCGUCUGUCAGACAAGUACGUUAGUCCUGGGGCAAGUACGUUAGCCCAACAAGUGACUACUCCGGAGCUCACUGCCUGGGGGGAGCGACCACCACCAAGCUAAGAAAACAGACUAUGUGAGUAAGAUCUGAUCCCCUUUUAGAGGAUUCAACUGACAACAAUGUCACAAUUUAACUCUAACUAGUUCUUUAUACUAGUUUCCAAAUCUCUAGUCAUGAUGUCACCAAGUUUACUAUUGUCUUGGUCCAUGCAUUCAUAGGGUUCUAUGUCCACAAUCUAAGGUUCACAAAUUCUCAUUGUUGAUAGGAAUUCACAUUUUCACUCGCUCAAUGCCAAACACCCUAUAAUGCAUGACUACAAAUAUAAAUAUGCUCAACAAAGAAUUAUAGACAUAAAAGGUGAUUCAAAGAGUUCGGAUAGCACCACCCACCUGUAGUGGUGUCAAUCAACUAGAAUCCAUGUCUCGGAAAGCGUCGACGACUAUCUCUCGUGACUCCGUGCAAAUAGGACUAGAGCGGUCUCUACCGUAAUUAGCGUGUCGUCGACCUGUCGGAAAGUCAAUUUAGACUCUUGGGCAUGUUUACUUUACACUUAUAAAGGAUUAGAAAAGAUUAAACUAGAGUCAUUACUCAUAUUUUACAAGUUAGCAUUUCAAUGCGAUAUAAAGCGGCAACUAUAGCCGAAAACCUUCUUUUGGCGAUAUCUUUGCGUAGGUUCGUCGGAUUGCCGAACCGACUUCGCCAACGCGUUUCUUUUACCCUCAAUUUGGUUUACACGCCGUCAAUUUCGCAUUAGGACUCUUAUUUUGCAAAAGUGCAUUGCCGGGGUCAGUUUUCUCAAAAACACUAUUUCAAUGCAAUUUCACAAUUCAAUAGAGUAAUUCAACUCUUUAUUAGCCCAGGGACCUCAAAUCAGUUAGUAAAAACUGUCCAAAUACUUCGAUUCAUCUUUUCUCUCUAUUUCAUUUUCUUUCUUUUCUUUCUUCUCUUUCUUUUCUUUCCUUCUUUCUUCCUCUUUUCUUUCUUUUUUUGUUUUCUUUCUUUCUUGCUGGCCCUGUAGGACAGCUGCUGCUGCUGCCACUGUUGCCACUGCUGCUGCUGCUAGCUGCAGCUGCUGCUGCUGCUGUGCUGCUAUGCUGCUGCAGCUACUACAAGCUACUGCUGCUGCUGCUGGCUGAGCUGCUGCUGCUGCAGCAGCUUGCUGCUGCUGCUGCUAAGCUGCAGCUGCUGCUGCUGAUGCUGCUUGCUGCUGCUGCUUACACUGCUGCUGCUGCUGCUGCUGCUGGCGCAGGCUGCUGCUGCUGCUGCUGCAGCUGCUGCUGCUGCUGCAGCAGCUGCUGAGCUGCUGCUGCUCUGCUGCUUGCUGCUGCUGCUACUAGCUGCUGCUGCUAGCUGCAGCUGCUGCUGCUGAUGCUGGCUGCAGCUGCUGAGCAAGCUGCUGCUGUAGCUUGCUGCUACUGCUUGCACUGCUGCUGCUGGCUGCUACUGCUACAACCAGCAGCAGGGAGAGGGGGAGAGGGAGAGAGAUAAUUUACCUUUUUGUUCUCUUUUUUCUUCUUCUCUUUCUCCUUUCUCUUCUUCUUCUCUUCUUUUUCUUCUUCUCCCCUCCCUUUGCUCUUGCUUUCCCUCUCUCUCUAGACGUAUGCUGCAAGAAGAGGUGGCAGGGGAUAAGGAUGGCCCUGGCUGCAGGUUAGUGGAAUUCCACUAAGUCAUAUGCUAAUUACCAAAAUGCCCCUCGACUUACUCCGUUUAGUCGCACGGAUUAUAUACCUUCCGUAAGCCCUUCCGACAGUCCGAUUGAGCUCAAAUUUGGCAGGAAUGAUCGUUUUUACUUAAUAAGUCCACUGAAAUUUUAACAUUUCAGUUUCGACCCCGUUUGGUCACUGCGAACUGUACCGAACUGAAAUCUUUAUCCGAUAGCUUUCGGAUUCAAUUUCUCUCUCUACGGGUGUCAGAAAAAUCUGAAACUUCAAAUCUAGCCUCAUAAUAAUGUUCCUGACAUCUUUGCCAAUUUUCAUAAUUUUCUGACACUGUGCAUUUUCUGCUAAUUUUCUCAGCCCCGUUCCUUACAAAAAAUUCUAAAUUUUUCGUUUUCGCUCCGAUUUCACCCAAACACUUCCAAAAUACACCAAGGGACCUUCCCAAGCUACCAAUUUAAUUUGGAAGCAAUUCCUUUUCAUUUUGACAUUAUUUGAGCCGAAUUAGAAAUAGAAUCGGCUCCAAUUCCAUUACAUGGCCUUUUUGCACUACCACUUCGCACUGAGCUCUUUAAAACCUUGUGAAAACACACCCUUGGCUUUACCAAAACUUCACAAUUGAUUCGGAGAUACCACAAUUUAUCCUUAGGCCUUACUUUAAUUCUUUUAAUCAAAGUUAGCGUCGGAAUUGCGAAAAUUCUCUUUACUCUCUUUAUAUUUCGUUUCGCGCCCAAUUUGCGCCGACACACUUAUUUCUCUUUGGAACUCAUUCCAACGCAUCACAAAUCCCUCGGGGAUGAUGUACAACUAGCUCAAUCCUCACUUUGACCCUCUAGGUCAAAGUUGACAUCGCGACUCCAAGUUUCCAUAUGUUACAUUCUCCUCCCGUUAACAAAAGUUUCGGCCGCGAAACUUAGAUCCAUAUUACCCCUUAUUGCUUAACGGAUGGAGAUAACUUUCCAAAUGCUAUUCCAAAGUUUCUCAAUUUCAUUACAUACUAUACUGAUUUCUCCAAAUCAGUCUCUACGAACACUUUGUUCGCAUUUCCAAUCUCAACUCGUCAUCGAUGCUUAUUUUAGCAAUUCUGACUAAUUCACCCAUAGAACCAAGCUUUUGCUUUCACGGCCUCUACUCAUAAUCUACUUACAUAGGUCCACUACACUCGCUUUCAGUAUGAACGAGUAAACCAGUACCACAAUUCGGUUCCUAAGUUACCGAUCCGAUACAGGCCGAUUGCCUAACCCAACCAUGAUACGACAUAUUGCCUCUCGCUCGCAAGCGCAAACCCAAUCAUCAUCGGGCGAUAUUCUCACUGGAGAAUUCGCACACACUCCAACUAGGAGAAACCAAGACCCCAAACCACGCCAAGUCCUCGGGUUGGGUCGCUACACACCCUGUGUGUUCUCGAUCUCACGAUCUAACACGUGGCAUUCCACGUACUCGGGUCCAAGCUCGGACUACCGUCCUGACCAAAACUCUCUGCCCUACCCGUAGGUACCGGGCCGCUGCCUCUCGCAGCUGACUGCGCCUGCCCAAUAGACCAGGCUCCACAGUCCAAAAAGGGUCCAGGCACGGAUCGUCCCCAAGCACUACCCGCCAACGUAGUCCUACACGACAUGCUCUACAGAGCUACCCACUCUAACGGCUCUUAAGCACCUAGUGCGAGCCAACAGCCUUAAGAGUGACCCAUGGCCCGCUUCACACUUAGCCCUGCUGAAGUGCUACUGCCAAUUCACUCUUCAGGCUGAUCCACAAUCCACAAUCUACGGACAACUAACUCAAGGGUCCAACACGAUCGCGUCUCUCGCUAGAUAGCACUCAUCUAGUGCUCGUUAGGCAACUUAGCCUAUGACUAUCAUACAUAAACACAAUUUCCUCAACUGAUUUGAGGUACAACUCAAUUAACUCGCCAAAACCAGGCGAUCAUCUAACGACCUUCCAACAGUAACGCCAUUACUGUUACGCAAUCCCUCGGAAUAUCAUCCGACUUCUCAAUGUCGUGCGUUCUAGCAAAUGAACUACUAAUGAAUGAAUGCAAUGCACCAGUGUCAAUAAUAUACGCGAUCUAGUAAAACAAUACCUGCCACGACAUCGUCGACUACGGCAGGAUCCUCAACCUGAGCUGCAAAGACACGACCACUCGGUGCAGGUCGGGGUGGCUCGUACUGACGCGGCACAAAAGUAUGUCCAGCUGACAUAGCGGGUGGGGGACCCGCACGCUGCCUCGCAGGCGACUGAACUGAAGCUGUAGGCUGAGCAGAUGAUGCUCCUCUCGGGCAAUCACGACUAAUGUGUCCCGGCUGUCCACACUUAAAACAUUUACCGUCCUUUUGUGAACAAGCUACCGCUUGAUGAUUCCCGCCGCAAAUCACACAUCCCGGGGGUCCCUGAUACGUCUGCUGUGGCUGUGGAUACCGAGGGGGCCGUUUAGAGCUCGACUGUCCCCCGGCGCCACCAGUGGUUCGCUUCUUUCCCUUUUCUCUUUCUCGUUCUCUAUCAAACGACUCGCGUUCCUCACGCGCAAUCGCAUUGCUGCGCUCUACCCAAAGAGCUCGAUCCAGGACUUCCUCAAAUGACUUUAACUUUAGAGCACUAAUUAUCUUAAAUAUUUCAGGCNNNNNNNNNNNNNNNNNNNNNNNNNAAGGAGAGAUGCAUGCUCCAAAAAUUACAAGAAACUAAAGGCCUUUCACAACCAGAAUGCAAUUACCGAGAGAUAAGUAGAUAAAUAACACAUCAGUUAAUGAAACAAAAGAAUGAAGGGCUUGAAGCUUAGAAAAACACAAAUAUUAGAGAAUUGGUUCUUAAAAGAUGUAACUAGAUCAAAAACAAACUGAAAUCAGAAACUUGAAAUCGUUGUUUUAUGCUAGAUUGAUUCUAAUAGGAAAAACAACAAUCAACAACCACUCACUAUGGCAUGGAUUUUUUUUUUUAUUUUUUUUUUUUUGGGUUUUUGAAGUUCUUGCACUAAACGCAAAUAUUUUGAUGUGAAACAAGUGAAAUUUGGUGAUUCGCAUUAUUUGUCGUGCAAAAUGAUGGAUUUCUGUGUGUAUAAUCUUAUGUUUGACUACACACACACUUAUUUACUGAAUCAUCAGGGUCAAAAGAUUUUGAUAACUCUCAAUGCAUAGCUUCGUGAUCCCUCUUCUGCUGGUCUGAUCAAGCAAGUAAAGCCAUUCACUAUUAAUUGGUGGUUUUUUCAUUCACUUUUUGUGAUGGAUUUUGUUUUAAACAGCGAUAGUUAACUAUUCUUCUCCCAUCAAUUGUUGAUUUCGAGAACCGUUGCCAUGCAUUAUAAACAUACCUACUUCUCAUAUCGGUUUGGUUAGUUGAAUAGCAGAUGUAAACCUCAAUGGAUGUAUCGAAGGUCUAAAAAUCAUCCUACAGAUAAUAGAAUCUCAUUUAUACAACAACAAUACAACAUACCUUCAAAAUGGUUUAGAACUCAUCGAUUAAGUAAAGUCUAAAUGCUACAUGGCUUAAAUAGGCAUAUUUUCUCACAAAAUCUUCAAUUAAUGAGAUGUUCAUCAUGUAUUUUCCAUUGAUACAUUAGAACCAACUAUAUAUUCAAGCUUCUGAAUCUAACAUAAAUAUUGAACCCUUUGGUCCAGAAAGACAUUCAUGAUCGAGUACUACAUAUUAAAUGGUACAUCAAAACAUAUUUUUUGUUGAUUUAUCGAACAAGUAGUUUCGAUAAUAUCAUUAUGUUUAAGCUACUUCCUUGCCAGAUUCAAGUUGCGCCUUUUACCAUCUUCGAGUGGAUUAUAUGUACCAUUGAUAAUCCAUCUCUAGUUCGCACAGUCCGUUGUUGCUUAAACAGUGCUACGCACGCUAAUCGGAUAGGAAACAUAACAGAAAAAUCGGAGGCAUAAAUCGGAAGCAUAACACUGAAGUACAAAUAACAUUCCAUAAGAUUGUGGAAAUAGUUCAUCCAAUCAGGAAGUGAAGUCGCCUUCCAAUAAAGCUUUUGUUACCUCAUGGGCCCCUGUGCUGCCCAAAAAAAAAGAAAGUACUGUGAGAUCAAAAUUGUGGUAGUAGCCAUAAUUCAGCUGAGAGAAAUCUAAUUGCACAUCUCUUACUUCGAGAAAAUUGUUGUUUUUCAUAUAUGUCUGAUGGCAGAUCAGACUCUGAAGAGCCACCAAAGAUCAAGGAAAAUCGGUAAAACCAAUUAACCAGAAGAGGCAUGCUAAAAGGCUUGAAUGAACGAGUUAGGUCCUGAUUAAUUGCACCAAGGCUCAUUUUUUUUCUAGUACACCCGUUUCAAAGAUGAGGCAUCUGAUAUUGACGAUCGAAUACAUUAUCAUUAAGAUAUUUGAACUUUGUAAGAACAGUUCGAUCCAAAUUUUUUAGGAAACAUUUUCUACUUCAAAGCAACCACAAAUAAACAGUCAUGAAAUCUAAACAAUUGUUAGAAUAGAUUGAUAGAAUAUUAAAUUCAAGAUCAGGGCUGUAGAUUUUGAUCAUUCGUUAAAAGAAUACCGAUUUGCAUUCUUCAUACCGUAAAUUAGAAAAGGUCUAGAUGUGCCAUAAAAUGUCAACUUUAAUGAUUGUUGGUCACUAUAUAGUAUGACAUUGAUGAAGUCAUGAAAUGAUACCUAAGGCUUCAAUUCUAUGAGCUCAUUUUUAGUGACGCCGCAUCCCCGGAGGCCAUCCCAAUUCUAGGACUACUUCUAGUCCUCACACGCUAAACUCUUCUUAAUCUCUUAGACUACCAUCGCCCAAAAUGUUAUAGACGAAGGUUAAAAGAUUUAGCCCUUAUUAAUCUUUACUAUAGCUGAACUACCUUGAGGUCUGCGACAUUGCUUCGCCUCUUUUAAGUCCUGACGUCUCGUCAGGCUAAAACUCACAAAUGAUCAGGCGAUGUGAAAUCUAGUCUCGCUAGCCUAACCACUUGUUGGUGAGCGGGCUCGCACACCACAACAGUCAACACAUGAAACCUCACUCCGCUGACCCGCGUAUAAUCCUUGGCUCACCAAGACUAAUCUCACAGCUUUCAGCUUAGUAAUUGACUCUGAUACCAACUUAACGCGUAAAGUCAUUUUCUAGGAAAUCACUUAUUCUAAGACAGACUGCUAGUCCUAGCAUGGCUUAACUUAAAAUAAUAUAAACCUAAAAUAAAACUCAUUUAAUAAUCCUAUAUAAGGGUUUGAAUACUACAUUUUAACGAAACCGACACCUUAACACAGAUGUUUUUACCCUCCGAGAAACUAUUCGGAAAAGUCAACUGAAAAUAGCAUAAAUUGGUCGAAAUAUUACAAACUAAGUUCAAUUUGAAUCAAACAACUUAGCUCAAUCAUACAUUCAUUUCCAAACAUUUGCACAGUGAUGACAUCUCAUUUAAGUAUUUUAAACUGCCUAAAAUCACUAUAAAAGUCUAAUAUCGCUAGUGAUCAAAAUCCCACGAUUUGAAGCCUCAUAAAACACAAAGGUAAACUCAUCUAAAAACUCUAAAAACAAAGGCAAUUCAUAUAAGUAUUAUUGCCUCCCAAAUUCAAGUAGAAAGAACUAAAAAGUAAUUAUCAGGAUUCAUUUUGGGCUCUUAGGGCGCGCCACACCCUAAAUUACAAGAAAAAUCUCGUAAUGGGCAGAAACUCCCCAUUUAGGCGCUCAUAUUUGAAUAUAGUGUCAUAAAACUUCAAACUAUAGUCAAUUCAUAAUAAGAUACGCCUUGGACCUUCAAAGAGAAAAGGAAAACAUGCAUGCAGACCUAAAAUAUUCAUACUCUUUGAUAUUUACAAAGUACAAAAUCGAUAAUCUACUUAAUUUGUUCUCUAAGCUAGAGUUUUAACUUGAAAAGUGGGUUUCCUUCUCCAAAAGUCUCCUUCUAAAUUCCUUCAAUUUGUAAGGGAGAAAUCCUUCUUCUCAUGCUGAAUAAAAAAGAGAAGAAUCUAGGACUGAGAGAAGGGAACAUAGGAAAAAGAAGAUGAGAAUAGGGAAUAAAAGAGUUUUUCUCUCUCCGCAUUCAAACCACCCAUUUAAAAGAGUUAGUCAUUUUACUCAACAUUUCUUGGAAAAAUUUUAGGUUGGUACGCAAUAGUUAACUCACUCUAAGUUCGAAUAUGUUACAAUUUUAAUUCAAAUUUACACAAACACCAUAACAAAUGGUUAAAAAUCCCCAAACUACCGCUCAAAGCUGCAGGACUGCAUCGACGACUGUUAGAAAAAUUGCAAUAACCUCUGUCGUCCGAUAUCGUUAAGGAGCAUUCAGGUUCGUUAGAAAAGACAUAAACUCACGAUCUUUCAAAGCAGACCAAUUUUGCCAAUCUGAUGUCAAUAACCUAGUUAAAAGUUUACCAAAUGUCUAUUUGUGCAAUGGCAGAUUAGACUCAACUGUCUUGAAUUUUCGUCCUCGUAAACAAUUCGUUUUGACAUCAAUUGAGUUUCAAACAUCAUUAAAACUGGCCAUCACCCUGCUAAAAUUAUUUUGAAAUCUUUAAACAUUAAUAGUCAAAUUUGGGGCGUUAUAGUUUCUUACAUCCCGUUAAAAACAGCGUUUCGGCCUCCUUUUAGCCGGAUAUAGCAUUUUGGCAGUAGAUGCAGCCCAAAAGUUAAGAGAGUUAAGUGUGGCUAGAAUUACGGGGUGACCCUUGGAAGUAGGCGUUCCAUUGGUAUUAAGCCAAAUUACCAGCCGAAAAUGUGAAGAUAAGUCUUGGCUGAUGGCCAGGUUAUAACAGCGGCGAAGCGAGGCUCUUCAUGCUGAUGACUAUUCCUGGGAUGAAAUGCGCAGCUCACCACAAAGUUGGUUUAGGCUUCAAGAGACAGAUUCUUUACCAUUAAUUGAUACGUUGUGAGUCUGAAACCGACGAGCGACGUCCAAAAAACAAAGGCGCUUUUUAAAGAAUGAGAGAAAUUGAAACCGGCCAAGUAGUCCUAUAUGUAAAGAUAUAAUAGGCUGAAAAGCCUCCUUAACCCCGCUAUAGAAUUGGCGUCACGGUAGGUCUAGAGAGGUUAAGAGAGUUAAGCGUGCUCGACUUAGAGUAAUCCUAGGAUGGGUGACGCUUUGGAAAGUGCGGGCGUCACAGUUGGAAUCAGAGCUAAUUACUAGUUGGAAGUAAUGAGAUUAGUCCUCGAGUGAGCAGAUUGUACAACGGGAGAGGCGAGGCUCAUCAUGCUGUUGACUGUUAGGUGGAGGCGCAACUCACGCAAUAAUGUCGGUUUAUGUUAGCGAGACGAGUCUCACGACACCUCGUACUUGUGGAGUCUCAGCGCUGACAGAGACAAUUAGGGCUUCAAGGUGAGGAAAUUGCGAGACUCCAGGUAGUUCUAUAUAUAAGAAUAAUAGGUUAAAUACUCUUAAAUCCAUCUUAAUCAUUUGGGUGGUGGCUAGGUUCCAAGAGGUUAAAAGAGUUAAGUGUGAUAGAUAGGAGUACGUCCUAGGACGCAAUCUUCAACGUGCAAUUAUCAAUUUGGAUACUAUAUAUAUCAUUCGAUAAAUGAAACCUAAUAGCACCACCGUGUUCGGAUUUUAGAAAUGAUAAUUUUUGAUGAUACAAAAUAGAAAAAUUUUGGAUUUUACUUUUUCAACAUAGUAAUUUCAGGUUUUAGUUGGUAUUUGAAAUGAACAACCGAACAAAAUUGAUCAAAGAUAGUCAUUCAAGUCAAAAAUUUCCAAAAUCAGCUCGGACAAAAUCAAAUGUAUCAAAUUGGAUGCAAGUAGCCCAACAAUAUAUGGAGGGCUUCUUUGACUCUUAUUGUAACAAUAUGGAAACUGGCAGUCGCGAUGUCAACUUGACCUAGAGGGUCAGUGAGGAUUGAGCUAGUUGGACAUCAUCCCGCGGAAGGGAUUUUGUGAUGCCAGUUGGAAUGAGCUUCCAAAAGAGAAAUAGUGUGUCGGGCGCAAAUUGGGCGCGAAACGAAAUAUAAAAGAGUAAAGGAAUUUUCGCGAAUUCCGACGCUAACUUGAUUAAGAAGAUUAAAGUAAGGCCUAAAGGAUAAAUUGUGGUAUCGUCCGAAUACAAUUGUGAAGUUUUGGUAAAGCCAAGGGUGUGUUUCACAGUUGUAUAAAGAGCUCAGUGCGAAGUGUAGUGCAAAAGAGGCAUGUAAUGGAAUUGGAGCGCGAUUCUAUUUCUAAUUCGGCUCAAAUAAGUGUAAAAUGAAAGGAAUUGUUCCACAUUAAAAUUGGUCAGGCUUGGAAGUCCGCUUGGUGUUAUUUUGGAAGUGUUGGGUGAAAUCGGAGCGAAAACGAAAAUUUAGAAUUUUUUUGUAAGGAUACGGGCUGAGAAAAUUAGCGUAAAAUGCAACAGUGUCAGACAAAUUUGAAAAUUGGGCAAAGUGUCAGGAACAUUAUUUAUGAGCUAGAUUGAAGUUUCAAGAUUUUUUCUGACAACCCGUAGAGAAGAAUUGAAUCCGAAAGCUAUCGGAAUAAAAGGAAUUUUUUUUCCAAAGUUUUCGUAAGUUCGCAGUGACACAAACGGGGUGCGAAACUGAGAAUGUUAAAAUUUCAGUGGAUUAUUAAGUAAAAACGAUCAUUCUCCUCUGCCAAAAUUUGAGCUCAAUCGGACCUCGAAAAGGGCUUACGAACGUAUAUAAUCCGUCGACUAAACGAGUAAGUUCCGAGGGCAUUUUGGUAUUAGCAUAUGACCUUAGUGAAUUCACUAACCUGGCAAGCCAGGGCCAUCCUUAUCCCCUGGCACCUCUUAUUGCAGCAUACGUCUAGAGAAGAGAGGAAAGCAAGAGCAAAGGGCAGGGGAGAGAAAAAAAGAGAGAGCAAGAAGAGAAAGGAGAAAGAUAAGAGAACAAAAGGAGAACAAGGUAAAUUAUAAAUCUCUCGACUCUCUCCCCCUCUCCCUGGCUCGGUUGUAAGCAUAGCAGGCCAGACAGCAGGCAGUGCAAGCAGUAGCAGCAAGCUACAGCAGCAGGCUGCUUCAGGGCAUGCUGCAGCCAGCAUCAGCAGCAGCAGGCUGCAGCUAGCAGCAGGCAAGCUAGUAGCCAGCAGCAAGAGCAGAGCACAGGCAGCUCAGCAGCUGCUGCAGAGCAGCAGCAGCUGCAGCAGCAGGGCAGCACAGCCUGCGCCAGCCAGGAGCCAGCAGGCAGCAGUGUAAAGCAGCAGCAGCAAGCAGCUCCAGCAGCAGCAGCUGGCAGCUUAGGCAGCAGCAGCACAAGCUGCUGCAGCAGCAGCAGCUCAGCCAGCAGCAGCAGCAGUAGCUUGUAUAAGCGCAGCAGCAUAUGCAGCCACGCAGCAGCAGCAGCUGCCAGCUUAGCAGCAGCAGGGGCAGUGGCAACAGUGCACAGGCAGCAGCUGUCCCUACAGGGCCAGCAAGAAAGACGAAAACAAAAAAGAAGAAAAGAGGAAGAAAGAAGAAAUAAAAACGAAAGAAAGAGAAGAAGAACAAAAAGAUUAAAUGAAAUAGAGAAGAAAAGAUGAAUCGAAGUAUUGACCAUUUUUUUAAGCUAACUGAUUUGAGGUCCUGGGCUAAUCAAGAGUUGAAAUUACUCUAUUGAUGAAUUGUGAAAUUGCCAUUCGAAAUAGUGUUAUUUUGAGAAAACUGACCCUGGCAAAUGCACUUUUGCAAAAUAAGAGUCCUAAUGCGAAAUUGACGGCGUGUAACCAAAUGAGGAAAAGCAAGAUGCGUUGCUCGAAGUCCGGUUCGGCAAUCGACGAACCUACGCAAAGAUAUGCGCCAAAAGAAGUUUUCGGCUAUAGUUGCCGCUUAUACUCGCAUUGAAAUGCCUAACUUGUAAAAUAUGAGUAAUGACUCUAGUUACAUCUUUUAAUCUCUUAUAAGUUAAAGUAAAAUGCCAAGAGUCUAAAUUGACUUUCCGACAGUCGACGACACCUUAAUUCCGGUAGAGCCGCGCUCUAAUACUAUUUGCACGAGUCACGGAGAUAGUGUCCGACGCUUUCCGAGACCAUGGAUUCUAGUUGAUUGACACCACUUACACAGGUGGUGGUGCUAUCUCGAACUCUUUGAAUCACCUUUUAUAGUCUAAUAUUCUUCGAUGAGAACAUCAUUAUAUUUGUAUGUCAGCAUAUGGGGUUUGGCAUUGAGCGAUGUGAAAAUGUGAAUUCCCAUAUCAAGCAAUAAGAGAAUGUUGUGGAACGCUUAAUUGUGGACAUAGAACCCUAAUGAAUGCAUGGACGCAAACAAUACGUAAACUUGGUGACAUCAUGAUAUAGGAUUUGGAAACUAGUUAAGAACUAGUUAGAGUUAAAUUACAUUGUUGUCAGUUGAUAUCCAUACUAAAAGGGGAUCAGCAUCUUACUCACCAUAGUCUGUUUCUUUAGCUUGGUGUGGUCGCUCCCGACCCAGGCAGUGAGCUCACGGAGUAGUCACUGUUGGGCUAACGUACUUGCCCUAAAAAACAUGCAGGACUAACGUACUGUCUGACAGACGGUCCAUCGUGAGGGGGCACUAGGGGCCGUGAGGGAUUUCGUUGGUGAGUUAUUGUAACACAAAGGUUUUAACCACUGGCAUUGGGUAAAUUAUGGACUAAACGUACUUGUCAGGGCGUUAAACAGAGGUUCACCAAAAGAUUGGGUAAAGUUAAUUGAAAAGCAUGCAUGCAUAUUUACCAGUUUCAAUCUGUACUUCUUUCAGCUUUUACUAGGCAUUGUAGUACAAUUAAUGUUAUAUGUUUGGUUAGCUAUCUGGCUUACUUUUCUGCCUUACAUAUGGCCUGAGUAGACGCUAGGUGGUGAUCGCGAAGUCCGGCAGCCGAACUCCACUGGGAAGCUUUCUUGUAGCUUCUCACACACUAACCAUAACAGCGUUCCAAGUGGCGAAGUUUUGAGGGUGAGACGUGGGCCAAGGGCCCUGCAAGCUUAAGCUAGGCUGACCACAGAGUUUAGCACCAGUUACCAUGUUUGAGUCAUGUAUACAUUCUCAUUUUGAUGUACAGAGACAUGUAAUGAAUGUAUAAAAAGCAUGUAAUAACUAAAUGUUUCAGUUAUGUAAAGUUUUAAAUUACAGUGGAUUUCAUGUUUAGUUAGACUUACUAUCAGCUUGUGUUGUUGCUUGUCUUUGUGCAAGCCAUGUAUAUUGAAAAUGUGAGCCUGGAAAUUGUUUAAUUUCUUUAUACAUGUUCAUUCGUUGUUGUCCGAGCCUUGGCGAACAGAGGGAGGUGCUGUCGUUCGCGUCUGUGUACGGGCCCGUCGACCAAAUUGGCGAUACGGACGUGACAGAUAAAGUGGUAUCUAUAGCAAGUAUAGAAAAGUCCUAAGGAAUGACCUAGGGGACUUAGAUUGGAAACCUAGGAAACCAGGAAAUCGCGAGUGCGUGAAUUUAAUGAUAGCGAAGCCAACAAUUGGGUUAGUUGUUACAAGUCUGCUAAUGUUAAUUAGGGGCUGAUGCGCUGAAGUGCUUAUUUAUAUGGGCAAGCAAAAGAGUUAGUGUUGAAUGCCACAACACAUAAAGCUAAGGUUGAGUAAUAAAUGACUUGAAUUGCUUUCGCCUGUUGUUUGUUUUACUAAUGGAGUUUUGAAAUGUUCGUUCAGGAGAAAUGCCACCGCGACGUGUAACGAGAUCCACUCCGGCAUCACCCUUUGAGGUGAGCCAGAGCAGUCUGUGGUCGGAUGAGGUUCAGGAGCUUGCGUGCUCCAAGGUGAGCGCGUUAGAGGGCUAUGCAGAGGCAGACGGAGAACAUAAGAGGUUGCAGGAAUUGGUGUCGCAACAGGCGGACGAACAGCAGCUUUGGGAAGUCAGGAUGUACCUUAUCGCGGAUCCGCCAGUGUAUUAGCCCCUCCCUCCAGUUGAAUUAUUCUCCGUGGUCUCAUGACGCUUCUAGUUCUGAUUCGGCGCGACAACGCCGAGCACGAGCGAUCCUUAUCAGGUAUGACGCGUUCAUUGCAGGUUUUAAUCCGCCAUGUUGACGGGAAAGAAGCCGCGAUCUUGGGUAUUGGAGACGUGGCUUUCAACAUCGAUGGAAGCCUUGUUUUGAGGAUUUAUAACCCUGGAACAAUGAUAAGGUUAUUUGCAAGCGCACUGUUUGAGCAAGGAUGCCAGAUUUUGUGGCAAAAGGCAAGAAAAGCUCAGGUCUAAACACUUCAUCGCAUUACCUGGGAGGAGUUUAUGAGAGAUUAUUCAUGGAAGUACUUACCCAGAUAGCGACAGAAGAAAGUUUGAAGGAUAGAGUGUAGGAAGUUGAGACAGCGGGAACCGUUCGGUACGGGAGUACGAAGGGGUUUAACUCAUUUGGUGAACCUGUGUACCAGGCAUGGUUCAUACUGAUAGAGAUCGAGCAGAGUACUUCGAGCGGGGUUACCUCUCUCUCUCUCUCUCUCUCUCUCUCUCUCUCUACCUCUAUUCUCUCUCUUUCUCCCCUUUCUCUGUCUGCUCUCUCUCUCUCUCUCUCUCUCUCCCUCUCUCUGCCUGCUCUCUCUCUCUCUCUCUCCCUCUGUUAUCUCUCUCUUUCUCGCACAAGGCCCCCGCAAAACGCGGGGAACGCGCCGUACAAACUCUCGAUUCAAGAGUUAUAUAGAUAGAUAAAGUAGAGUUCGGGCGAAAUCAUGGAGGAUUUUUUGGUAAGAACAUAUAAAAUAUAUUAUAAACGGCGUAUUUCUAUAUGCAGAAUAUAUACGAUAUUGCAUACAAAAAUAAAUGUUAUUUUUUUAUCAUAUUUCUUUUAUUGUACGUGCCAUAUUUUUUUCACAAUUGUAAAUAAAAUCUGAAUCUACAUUGAAUAUUCUAGUGUAUAUACACAAUUUAUAAUAUUUUUCUGUAAGGCAACAUUAAAAUUCUGUGUUUUAUAAAUUAAGUAAUACAAUGUAGCAUUUGAGCAUCUCUAGUCUAUGAAAUAUAAUACUCUACUACUUUAUUAUUUAUUCACAAAAAGUUAAAAUAGAAAACACAAAAAAGGUGAAAUGCUAUGUUUUUAAGCAUAAACUAGUAACAAUUUCCGUGAAAUUACAAAUUAAUUGUCUUUUGUGGAUGCAAUAUUUCUACAGCUAUACACAUAAAUUACUUCCAACAACUGAGAUCCAUCACCGACUGUUCCUAGAGCAAGUGACAAAGGGCUUGGUGGUUGGUAUCGAGACUCAAGUUCGAAUUCUAGUUGAUUCACAUUUCCAGCUAAGUUUAUUCUAAAUGAAAUAAACAAAGCGGAUAGCGUGCUACCUUUCUCUCAAAAAAAAAACAACUGAGAUCCAUCUAACUGUAGAUAUACAGAAUUUACAUUCAAAAGUUAAGAUCUAUGUUGUUGUAAAUAUACGAUUUAUGUGUAUCAAAUUAAAUUAAACAACAGUAUUCUUCAAAAAUUUAAGCUGAUAGAGUAUGGUAUUUUUUUUUUUAUAUUUAACACUCGCUCUCCCAUUUGGACUCGAAAUCUUUUAAUAAACCCAUAAUAUGCACUUGUAUUAAAUAUAAAGAAAUAUGAUGUGAUUCAAAUACAGGAUCUCCAUCUGAAGCUGAUAGAGAACGAUAAUAUUAUAUUUUCAUAAUUAACAUAUAAAACAUGCUCCCACCCUUGUGAUAAUAUAUCUCUAAGGACUUGAUAGUUAGUAUUUGAAGUUUUAAGUUUGAAAUAUUUUUUUUUAAUUUUUUUCUUGAGUAUUUAUUCUCUAGAAUUUUCUUUAAAAUAAAAAAGAAAGGGUCAAAUGCAUACAGCUCCCUGCAAAUAUAGCCAAUUGCGGAUAUAUUCCUGCAAAAUCGAAACUCCAUAAGUUGUCCCUGCAAAAGUUUCAAGUUAUGCAGAUAUGUCCAUGCAGUUAACAUCUGUUAAUAAGCUGUUUGUUUUUUAACAGCGAAGUCGUGAAAUGACCAUUUUACCCUCACAAAUAUAUCCCUCCAAAAGUUUUCCUCUUUCCCUUCUCUUUCUUUUCCUUUUCGGACCGUCGAAGCAGACGACGGCGGCGGCGGCGCGGGGUCAGGUUCGCCGGCGACGAAGAAGAGGGAAGAACGCCGGGGCACCGGAGCUCUACCCGGAGCUCGUCGCCCUCAACGCCAUCCCCUCCCUCGUCGGCCUCCUCGGCCACCACAUCGCCGACAUCGCCGUCGACGUCGUCUCCCUCUUCAUCGACCUCACCGACGCCGACGUCCUCGGCGACCACGACGACCCCGCGCACGCCCUCGUCGCCGCCCUCGUCGACAACAACGCCCUCGAGCUUCUCGUCAAGAAACUCGUCCGCCUUUCCUCCGAGACCGACCCCGACGAGGUUCUUCUCCCUCGCCGGUGACGAAGAAGAGGGAAGAGGAAGAGGAUGAAGGAAGAAGGAAGAAGAAGGGAAAAGAGGAAGAGGGAAGAGGAAAAGGAAGAGGGUUCUCCACCGUCGCCGUCGUCGCCGCCGCAUCUCCUGGCCGGCGACGAAGAAGAAGGAAGAGGAAGAGGAGGAAGAGGAAGAAGGGUAAAUACGUCAAUUCACACUAUAAUUAACCAUGGUUAAGUAUUUUAACCAUGGUUAACGAAAAUUUUCUAACAGAUCUGGACGGUAGGGACAUAUCUGCAUAACUUAGGACUUUUGCAGGGAUAACUUAUGAAGUUUUCAAUUUGCAGGGAUAUAUCCGCAAUUUAUUAUGUUUGGAGGGACGUGUACGCAAAUAACCCGAAAAGAAAAAACAUGUAACUCUUUAACAUGACCUCACUGCUUACGUUUGAAAGAGCUAAUAAAUAAAGCCACUAGAACUUAAUUGCACUACAGCAGGUGGGUAUUUAAGCUGCAUUUGGUUCGGAUAUAAAUAAAAACAGCUUAUUUUAGGAACAAGUACAAGUUUAUGUAUAAGCAAAAAUUAAAUCAAUUUUUUGUUCAGAGGAAAAUUAGAUUGUUCUUGUGAAUAAAAUAAAUAGUGUUUGGAUAGUUAGAUUAGAGCAAGAGGAAUAAGAAUUAUAAUUCUAAAUUAAAAAUAUUUAUCUAAUUAAUUAACAUCAAAAUAUUAAUUAAAAAUAAUUUAAUAAAUUAAUAAGUUUAUUAGCUGUAAAUAUUGUAUAAGAUAAUAAAAGGAUAUUGAUCAACUAAUUAAAUAAAAAAAUAAUUUAAUUUUUUAAUUAGUUAGUAAAUUAUUGUAAUUAAAUAACUAGUAAAAAAUUAAUUAGAUUAAUAAAAAUAUUAAUGGUUGUUCAAUAUAAAUGUUAGUUUAUGGAUAAACAUAUUAAAUUAUUAAUAAUUAAUUAGUUAAUUAAUUACAAAAUAAUAAAUUAAUUAAUCACUUUAUUAUUUAAACAAUAAAUAAUGAUUUAAAUAUAAUAAUUAAAUUAGUUAAUAAUUUAAUACUGUAAUUAAAACUAAAUUUAAAUUUUAAUUAAUUUUGUUCCUACCCGGAAACAAAUUUGUUCGCGGAAAAAAAUGGUGGAACAAAUUUGGACCACCUUUCCUAAAGCUAGCUAGGGGGAUCGAUGACAUGCCCUUUGUUAGUACUGGAAAUGCUUCUUUCUUGUACUUCCGACAUGUUAAUCACAAGGACCAUAAAUUAAAUACUAUCAUUAAUUUAUCAAACAAAAUAUUAAUUAAUUGCUCUCCAAUUUGUCUGUUUGGCGGUUCUGAUGCACGGUAUAAUAUGCUAGCUGAGAUUAAUCUUUAAUCGCGAGAGAAGUACCAGCAUUCUUAACUAAUUAUAAUCUCCACAAACAGACGCAGAGCUAAUAUACUUUACAUCGACGAAACACAAGCAUACACACUACAUCGCAGCAAACAGUGAAGCAGAGUCGGAAGGCAAAGAUGAGAGCGUUGAGUACUCGAUCAAAGAUUCAUCACCAUCAGGUGGCCUUUCUCCUGCAGGCUCUUCACGGUCUCAUAGAGGCAUUGCAUCGCCGGCGUGAAUUCGAGGCCAAGGUCCUUCAACCGCUGGUUCGAGAACUUAUACGGUUGCUUUCGAGGAUUUAUCUCAUCUGAGCAUCUGCACAUAUAUGUAUAUACACACACACUCUUAAAACUUAGUAGUUACAAAAAUGUUAAUGAACAAUUAACAAUAAUUAACAAUAAUCUCAGGGCAUUUUAAUGAAAUAAUUGGAUUAUGGCCUAGAGAUUAGAGAGGGGGACUUCAGGUGACCUGGACUUAACUCAGUCCAACAAAUUUACAAGAAAAUAAAUGUAGGAUGAUGAUCCCUUGAAUAAAAUUACUAACUAUGUGGCCGUUUUAAUCGCCACGUAAUUUUGUUAGGCUUCAAAUUGCUACAAAAACUAUCUUAUUCCUUCAAAUUUUGAUAAUUAAGUAUACGAAUCAGAGAAUAAUUAAGUCACGCUCGACUAUAUAUCUUUGUUUUUUGUUGCUUUUUUCAUAAAUUAAAAAUAGAAAUGAUUUUCUUUGUAUUUAAAAUUUAUAUAAAAUUAUGCAACGCAUACACGGUCAAAACAGUUGUAUAAUUAGUAAUUUUGAUUAAAGAAAAAAGGCUAUAAAAUUCUUUGAAAAUUUUAAUAGAUCCAAUUGCCAAAGUCGGAGUUUAGAAAUCUUUAAAAAAAAAGCUAAAUUUCAAAAUGUGUUAAUACACUUUUUUUAAUUUACAAAAUUGUACCUAAACCAAAAAAAAAGAAAAGAAAAGAAAAAAAAAAAGCAUGACCUCAUUAACUAUGUCAUCACCUCACCUAUAACUCACUCAUAUUUGUUCCUGAAUAUAGGUCUUAUAUAUCAUUACCAUUUACUAUUCUUCUUUAACAUUCCAAUCAAAAUAGUACUUUAAUAAAGGAUCACAUGUAUAUAUAGUGAAUAAAAGUGAAAGAUGCCUUACUAAUUAAUAAAGUUACAAUCAAUCAAGUUAAAGCAGAGGCAAUAAUUGGUGGAAAAUGUUUUGCCUAGUUAGAUAUCACCUACCCAUAAUUAGUGACCACCACCACAUACAACACCAAAAUUUGGCAAUGAAUUACUAAUCAUCUUCCUUUAGAAUAUUGUUAUGGGUAGGAAAGAGAAAUGUUAGGAAAAUCCCCAACUACUGGCCAUUUUGAAAACCUUUAUGUAUCAUUUGAUGAUUUUACUUUGCCAAGUUGGUGGCCAAGUAAAAGCGAAACCAGUAUUUAGUUAGAACGUGUACAAAAUUAACUUACCAACUAUAUUAUGAUGAGAUACAGAGGAUUUUACUUGGUCACCGACGAUUCUUAUGUUUUGCAAAAUAAUUAUUGUUACAAUUAAUAGUUAUCAAUUGUAAUUGUACUUAUUGUUAGAAAGGAAAUAAAAUCUAGUAAUGCCUCUAUUGAACAAGCCUUAUAACUAAGAUAAAUGACAAAACAAAACUGAAACCUUAAUUUCAGUCAUUGAACACUUCUUUUUUGCUUUUAAAAAAAAAAAAAAAAAUGGAAUUGGAAGCUUGAUCUCCUACAACCCCAUCAAUCUUGAGUUCUCAAACUUUUAAUUUGUUGCAAUAUUUGACUCGAACUUUCAGAAUUAUUGCAAUCAAAUCCUAUAGCCCAAUUUUAGCAACUAAAUGUUGAUAAUCACUAAUGUAGGGAUAACGUAAUAGUGGUGCGAUUGAUGAUGCAUCAAUAAUUACGAUGUCACAUCACGUUACAUCAACGAUACAUUAAAAUUUGAUCAACUAAAUUGGAUUGUAAAACUUGAUUGCAAUAUUCUAAAAAUUCGAGUAAAAAAUUACUACAAAUUAAAGUUUGAGAAUCAAAGCGUUACCGACCACAUAGUUUGGGGACUUGUCCAUAAAUAAAUGAACAAUUAAGAUUAAACGUUUGGUUUCCUACCUAAGCCCCAGUAGGUUGGCAUAUUUUCUGUCACAUAAACUUGAUGAAUUAAACUCUUUUUGGAACUUUGGUUAGUUCCUUUUGUUUUUUCUCUUCAAGAAACAAAUUAGGUGACAACCUUAUAUCAGUUUGGUACAACCGAAUCAUUCACUUGUACAAUCUUUUUUUAUUAGUAGGGAAAACUUCAAAAACCCUCCCUGUGGUUUCACACUUUUUCAUUUUAGUACCAUGUGGUUUAAAGUUUAUCAAGUUAGUACCCUGUGAUUUCUCACUUUAUCACUUUAGUACCCUGUGGUUUAAAGUGUAUCAAGUUAGUACCCUGUGGUUUUGCACUUUAUCACUUUAGUACCCUGUGGUUUCACACUUUAUCACUUUAGUACCUUGUGAUUUAAAAAACCACAGGGUACUAACUUGAUACAAAUUAAAACCACAGGGNAAACAACGAUUUCAAGUUCUGUUUUGAUCUGUUGCAUCUUUUAAGAACACUUUCUCUAAAUAUUUUGUGUUUUCUAAGUUCAAGCCCUUCAUUCUUUGUUUCAUUAAUUGAUGUGUUAUUAUCUACUUAUCUCUUGGUAUUGCCAUUCUGGUUUCUGAAAAGCUUUAGUUUCUGUAAUUUUUGUGACCAUGCUAAUUCACUCCCAUGAUUUCCAUCAGGAGGGUUGAAGUGUAUAAGUAUUGUCAUCCAUUGAUACUCGACUGAUCUCAGUGUCGAAGCUCAGGACCUUAUGCUCUGAUAUUCAUUGCUCUGAUAUUCAUUGAUAUGACCAUGUUCGCAUGCAGCGUGUGUUGAUAAAUUUUUUGUAACAAAUUAGAUUAGCAAUAUAUCGUGGGAAAAAUUUUUGCUCCGACUGUGUAUUUCUUGUGGCGUGCAAGUGAACAAUACCUGACGUGACUAUGAAAAAGUUGUAAUGGAUUAUGAGAAUUGUAUUUUCCCUUUCCGGAAAGAGUACGUACAGUGAAAGCAAAAUUGUUUCUCUUUAAUUAAUUAGAUACAUGUUGUAUAAGUUUUGCGAAUUAUGAAUCUGAAUUUUGGUGUGUUUGUUCUCGCUACUGUGUUUUGUUUUAUUUUAUUAAGUGAAAUCUGUUUUCUUGCUUAGUCAAAUUAAAUGUUUGGCUUUGACAAUUCAAAAUGUUUUAUUUUAUCGUAAAGGGGUGUUUGGUUCCUCUGAAAAAAUAUUCUAGAAAAUAGUUUUAUAGCCGAAAAGGUGAACAAUAUGUGCUAGGGCUUUUUUUGCAUUUAGACCCCUGACAAAUUUUUAUUUUAAAAAUAGCCCUGUCAAAAUUUAAUUUGCAAAAAUGGCCCUCGACCUGCCACGCAGGCGCCACGUCAGCGCCACGCGGGCAGGGCUGUGCCCGUGUGUUAAGUUGAACACGGUGAACCAUUCACCGUGUUCAAACACGGUGAAUGGUUCACCGUGUUUAGUACGUAUUUUUUGUUACGUAUUUUUUGUAUAUUGAAAAGUGGAAUAAGGAGUAGGGAUGUCAAUAGAUAUGGAUAUCCGAAAUAUUAUUCGAAUUCAAACCCGAAUAAAUUAUAUAUAUAUAUANNNNNNNNNNNNNNNNNNNNNNNNNNNNNNNNNNNNNNNNNNNNNNNNNNNNNNNNNNNNNNNNNNNNNNNNNNNNNNNNNNNNNNNNNNNNNNNNNNNNNNNNNNNNNNNNNNNNNNNNNNNNNNNNNNNNNNNNNNNNNNNNNNNNNNNNNNNNNNNNNNNNNNNNNNNNNNNNNNNNNNNNNNNNNNNNNNNNNNNNNNNNNNNNNNNNNNNNNNNNNNNNNNNNNNNNNNNNNNNNNNNNNNNNNNNNNNNNNNNNNNNNNNNNNNNNNNNNNNNNNNNNNNNNNNNNNNNNNNNNNNNNNNNNNNNNNNNNNNNNNNNNNNNNNNNNNNNNNNNNNNNNNNNNNNNNNNNNNNNNNNNNNNNNNNNNNNNNNNNNNNNNNNNNNNNNNNNNNNNNNNNNNNNNNNNNNNNNNNNNNNNNNNNNNNNNNNNNNNNNNNNNNNNNNNNNNNNNNNNNNNNNNNNNNNNNNNNNNNNNNNNNNNNNNNNNNNNNNNNNNNNNNNNNNNNNNNNNNNNNNNNNNNNNNNNNNNNNNNNNNNNNNNNNNNNNNNNNNNNNNNNNNNNNNNNNNNNNNNNNNNNNNNNNNNNNNNNNNNNNNNNNNNNNNNNNNNNNNNNNNNNNNNNNNNNNNNNNNNNNNNNNNNNNNNNNNNNNNNNNNNNNNNNNNNNNNNNNNNNNNNNNNNNNNNNNNNNNNNNNNNNNNNNNNNNNNNNNNNNNNNNNNNNNNNNNNNNNNNNNNNNNNNNNNNNNNNNNNNNNNNNNNNNNNNNNNNNNNNNNNNNNNNNNNNNNNNNNNNNNNNNNNNNNNNNNNNNNNNNNNNNNNNNNNNNNNNNNNNNNNNNNNNNNNNNNNNNNNNNNNNNNNNNNNNNNNNNNNNNNNNNNNNNNNNNNNNNNNNNNNNNNNNNNNNNNNNNNNNNNNNNNNNNNNNNNNNNNNNNNNNNNNNNNNNNNNNNNNNNNNNNNNNNNNNNNNNNNNNNNNNNNNNNNNNNNNNNNNNNNNNNNNNNNNNNNNNNNNNNNNNNNNNNNNNNNNNNNNNNNNNNNNNNNUUCACACUUUUUCAUUUUAGUACCCUGUGGUUUAAAGUUUAUCAAGUUAGUACCCUGUAGUUUCUCACUUUAUCAAGUUAGUACCCUGUGGUUUUGCACUUUAUCACUUUAGUACCCUGUGGUUUCACACUUUAUCACUUUAGUACCCUGUGAUUUAAAAAACCACAGGGUACUAACUUGAUACAAAUUAAAACCACAGGGUACUAAAGUGAUAAAGUACAAAACCACAGGGUACUAACUUGAUACACUUUAAACCACAGGGUACUAAAGUGAUAAAGUGAGAAACCACAGGGUACUAACUUGAUACAUUUUAAACCACAGGGUACUAAAGUGAAAAAAAUUGAAACCACAAGGGGGGUUUUUGAAGUUUUCCCUUAUUAGUAUUAAUUUAACUUUUGUUUCCUUCAAGCGCAUGCAUGCGCAAAAGUGUUCUCUGUAAUAAAUAUUUCACACAGAAUUAUAUCAAGCCAAUACUAUUGAGAUGAAAAUACUUGGUUAAUUGUUGUUGUUUUUAUACAAAAUAUAUCCAUCUGUUACGAAGAAAAGUUAUUUCCCACUUAACCUUUCCACUCUCUGAAUUAACCAUCACUUCUCAUCCUAUAAUUUCUAAUACAGCUCCUUAGAAGCUAGCAAUUCUAUUGCAACCUAAAACAUAUGUAGAGAGGCCAACUGUUCCUAGCCCAAGCGACAAAAGUAUAUACAAUGGUUAGUAAUUGGGGAUCCCAGUUCGAAACAUAGUUAUUUUAUAGUAUGCUACUUUUUUAUUAAGAGAAAAAAAAAAAAGAGAGACAAAUUUAGAGAUGAGAAAUGCAUUUAGAGAUAUCAAUGGACACGGAUACGGAAAGUUUAUUUGAACUCAUACCCAAGCUUAGUAGAAUUAUUCAAUACUAAAUAAAUAUCAAUGGGCUUGGAUAUGAAUUUUUAUAUCCAUCAGAUUCGAAUUCAGUUUCGAAAUUUGGGUUUGAUAGUUGAGUUUAGAAACGAAUUCGAAUUUUUAAAAAUCCGUCUCAAAUCCGACCCAUUGACACUACUGCAUUGACAAUUAUUAUAUAUACCUGGUGGGGACGGGGUAUUCCGGGAAGAAUUUUCCGAGUAUCCGGACAACGUCCUCACGGUGGAGCACGCUCUCGGCGCACAGGUACCGUCCGGAGGCGGCGGGGGACUCGUAGACGCGCAGGUGGGCGUCGGCGACGUCGCGGACGUGGACGUAGGCCUGGACGGCGUUGGCGAAGGUGCGGGCGGAGCCGUCGAGGUACUUGAGCACGUGCGCGGUGCUAGCGUUGAUGCCCGGCUGCAGCAGCGGGCCGAGCACCAGCACCGGGUUCACCACCGCCAGCUCCAGACCCCGCUCCCGCGCCGCGUCCCACGCCGCCUGCUCUGCGGCAGUCUUCCCGUAACAAUACCAGUUCUAACCAUACCGUCACGCAUGCAUUCAAACAUAAAAUAAUAAUAAGAAUAAUAAUAAGUUCAGCCGUAAUUAACUGCAUACAAUUUUAGAAACUAACCAUAUGAUCUCGUACAUAACAACAGAUCGAAUUCGGAACGGAUUUUUAAAAAUUCAAACCCGAAUCCGACUCCAACCCUGAAAUUCGAACUCAAAUUCGAAACCGAUAAAUUUUAAAAAUCUAUAUCCAAAUCCGAUCCCGACCAAAAAUCUGGAAUCCGAAACAAUUAUUUCUUUUUUCAAUAUUUUAAAAUAUAUUACAUUAAAUCUAAAUUUUUAAAAUAUAAAUUCAAAUGUAACAUCAAACAUUUAUAUAUAAUAUUAUAUAUAAUGUAAAAUAAAUUUGGGUUUGGGUCGGGGUCGGGUUCGGGUCGGGUAUAGUCAAAAUCCAUAUCCGUCGGAUUUUUAUUUUUGAUAUUCAUAUCUAAAACCAUAUCUGUUUAGUAUAAAAUAAAUCCGCUCCAUUCGGGUUCAAAUUCAAAUAAAAUUUUGAAUAUCCGUACCCACUUACAUUCCUAGUUAUACAUACAAAUAUGAAAAAAAUUUAAGUGCAACUAUAUACAACUUUAGAUACUAAAAAGAUAAAUCUUUAUGUAACAAUACCAGCUCUAUCAUACAUACAGAAAAGAUAGGAAUAAUAAUGUAUUAUCCUAAAUAUUAUUUUCUGCAUGCAUUUUCAAUUUUACUUAGAUAUUUAAGUUUGAAAAAUUUUAUAUAAAUAGUAUUUUUACUCUUUUAAUUAUUAAAAAUAUUAUUUUUAUUGUAAAAUAUUUUUAAUAUUUUACUCUAUAUAAAGUAAAGUAGUUAAAACAAAUUAAUUAUUUUUCAUUUUGGUCAAAACCAAUAUUUCAAUUGACAGAAAAGUUGAGAUAUAAAACCACAAAAGUGUUUUAGUAAAAAGUUUAGGUCUUGUUUGAUACCGUUGUCGUUUUUUUUAUUUUUUUUGAACACUAUUUUUUAUAAUUUGAUGUGUUUAGUUUGUUAGCUUAUAAUAUAUUUGACUACAAUAAAUAGCAACUUAUUAGAAAAAUAAAAGUAAAAUUUUUUUUUUGCUAAAUAAAGUACUUAAUUUACAUGGAAAAAUUACUUAUAAUUCACAGUACACUCCUAUAGUUUUUAAUACCAAAAAAAUAUUUUAAAAAUAAAAAAGCGGACACCAUAUAUAGCAAAGGAGUCCUUAAUUUUUUGCUGUUGUUUCCAUAAUGGUUCUCCACGUCAUCAUCAUAUGCACCACAAGCUAUAAUGGUUCAUAGAGCUUCAUACUUUAAUCUCUCUAGUGUGAGUGGCAAACAUUUUACUGUUGUUCCUUAAUUUAAAUAUUCUAGCGAGUAUAAGUGAUGAGAAAGUGCAUGAGCUUCAAUUAAUGAUGUGAAUUAAAGCAUAAAGCUUGCUGCGUAGAAUGAAGUGGUGCACGUAAUUUUUGUUUAUAUCUUUUUGGGCAAAAAUGGCAAGUUUUUUUAAAGAGAAAUGCAAAGUUUACCUAGGACUCCUCGUUCAAGAACAAAUAGAAUCUAUUCACUUUAUUUUGAAAUUUUAAUUUUUUUUUAAAAAUUAUAUUUUUUAACUAUUUUUGUUAUUAUUAUACUUCCUAUAUAAAAAACAAAUAAAGAGAAAAAAAAGAAAAUUUAAUGUUUAGAUAAUCUGAAGAAAUAUUUGAGAUCUUUUAAACCAAAUUAAAAAAAGACAAAAUAAUAAAUACAUUAAAAAAAUUAAAAAAUUUUAAAUAACAAAUAAAUAAAAGUAAAAAUUGGUGAAACAACAGUAGCAAAAGUAGCUAUAGAUACAAUGAAAUUUAGAAUUGUAAAAGUUGAAAAAAAAUAUGCAAAAGUUAGCUCAAAGAAAAAUCAAUAGUCAAUAAAGAAUGAAGAAAAGAAUGAAAUAGAAUUAAUAGAAAAAGUUUUAAAAAAUGUUAUUAACCGACUGUCUCAAAAAUAUAUGACUGUAAUAGUACAAAAAUUGAUAGUAGUAAAGUAAAAAUAUAAUAUUCUUUUGCAACCCAGUUUUUUGCCGUUAGAUCUAAGCCUUUGAUCAUUUUCACCCGUUAGAUCAUAUUAUUCAACUAACCACCCACUCAAUCCUAGGGGGCCAAUAUUAACCUAAUCGGGGACCACUAUCAUCCUAACCGCAUAUCUCUUCAUCCAAUGGUUAGAAAUUUAGAAGUACAAAGUGGGCUAUACUCACAUGAGUAUAGUAGCCCUAGCCUAAAAGCAUUAUGAUUAGCACAAAAAAAAUACUUUAAAUAAUUAUUGCAAAAAUAUUUCUAAAUUGGCAAUGAAAUUAAAUUAUGUCAUAUAUAUAAUAGCAUUACGAUCAGGACCAGGAAAAAAAAAUUUCUAAAUUAUUCACAGCAACAAAUUGGAAGGCAAAAAAAAAAAANGAGGACCAGCCUCUCCGCGGCGCCGUCCAGCGCCUUCAAGUGCGCGUUCUUGGGGUCGUCUUCUCGCACCAAUCUCAAAGCGUUAAGUACCGUUCCAUCCCAUGCAACACCAAUCUUAAAGCAUUUCUCAUUUUCUAGCUACAUGCAUGCAUAUAUGCAUGCACGUAUGUAUAUAUAGAGAUAUAUAUAUAUAUAUAUUCAUAUGUACCUGGGUUACGUACGGUUCCUUUGACAGUGUAGCCCCUCUCCAAGAGGAGCUUGACGAGCCACGAUGCGAUGAAGCCCCCCGCGCCGGUGACGCACACGGUUCGGCCGUUUCCGGGGGCCGCUAAAGCCGUCGUGUCGUCGACGGUCAUGUCGUUUGAAGAUCUACCAAUUGAGAGCAAUUAAUUACCAAAAAAAAAAAAAGAAAGAAGAAGAAGUUUUAGAAGAGAAGGGUUAUUGCUUUGGUGGGAAACUAUGGUGGUGUAGUUGGAGAAAAAGGGAGAAGGGGAGGUGGUGUAUAUAUAAUAAGAAAAAGAAAGGUGGUGGGGCGUGUAGUGUAUAUAUAGAAGGUGAGAGUGAACACUACCUGUUUGGAUUCUCCCGAAUUUUAUAGCAGCAGAGUUUUUUUUUUUAUUUUGUACAAGCCAAUAUUGACAUCUGUAUAAAAGUGUGUGGAUGUUUUUCUAAAAAAAUGUCAAAAUGUAACAAAAAUAUCAUAAAAUACAAUAAACUUUUUGAAAAUAAAAAGAGCUCACAAUUAUAUAUGUUUUAUAAUUUUUUACUAUCAAAAUUUACCAAACUCAUAUUGCCCUUUCACAUAAGCACGGAAUGUUCUAGUAAUAAUAAUUAGUUUACGUAUUUUUAGUCGGGGGUUUAGAUACAAUAAGUUAUUAAUAAUUAUCUAUUAGAACAUUAAAUAUAUUAUAAGACAUUAUUAUACUACUAAAAAAUUUUAAUUUACUCAAAUAGAAGAUGGGAAAAGGGGGUAAGUAGGUAGCAUGGUUGAUUAAAUUUUGAUUUAUUCAAAUAGUGGGGCCCACUGUAAAAAUUGGAAAGAUUUUGAAGUUGUGGAUAUGGAAGCUAAAGAUUUGCAAGGUGAAGGAAAAAUAAGAAAUAAAAAAAUAAUAAAAAAAAAAGCAACAAUGCGCGGCAAUUUAUCAACCAGAGGAAAAUGCUUUAAUUUCAAAAAAGCGGGCACAAGGUGCAUCAUAUAUUUCGUGCGCCACAUCAUGGUUGGCAUUAAUUUUACAUCUACCCAUCUAACAGGUGUCAUUCUGUACUAAUUUUAUUAUUAUUUUUUAAUUAAAAAUUUAUUUAAUAUUUUAUGAAUCAUAGAGAGAGAGAGCUAGAGAGUCGGAAUCACCGUUAGAUUUAACCAUUUUAUUAUUUUUAUCCGUUAGAUUAUACUAUUCAACCAACAACUCACUCAACUCUAGGGUACCCAUAUUAUUCUAACCGUACAUUUCUUCAUCCAAAGGCCAAAAACCUAAUAGCACCAAUAACUUGGUGCUAUUAAUAACAUUCCGGCCUAUAUAUAUAUAUAUAUAUAUAUAGAGUGAGGCUACUAUGCUAUCGGAAGCACGGAGCCUUCUGUGCUUCCAGCUCGUUUUCGAUGUUACGACUUUCGAAUCGUCGAUCUGCUCCAUUAAACUUGAUCUAGACUAUUUGGAGUACCUAGAAAAUAAAUUUUAUUAUUUUUCGAUAUCAUUUGCCUAGUGAUCGAAUGAGCUCAAAAUCAAUAAAUUUCAAUGACCGUAGUGAGCCGUUUGCAAGUUUAACGGUAUAGAAAUAUCCAAAUCACGUGAAAUUUUGAUAGAAAAUUCUUUAUAAUAUAUAAAACAAGAUCAAUAUCUUUGAUUUAAAAUUUUAAUGUCAUAUUAUUACAUUUUGUAAGAUUUUUAUUUUCAGCCGUUGAUUUUGAGCCCCUUCGUUCACUAGGCAAAUGAUAUCGUAAAAUCAUAAAAUAUUCUCUAUGUACUUCAAUACUCUAGAUCAAUUACUCGGAACCGAUCGACGAUUCGAAAGUCGCAACAUCGAAAACGGCUGGAAGCACAGGAUGCUCCGAUGCUUCGAAAAAAAAGUGCCUCCUUAUAUAUAUAUAUAAAAUAUCUAUAUAUAUAUAAUAGUGGCGGUUAUGUCUUCUAAAGUACUGAGCCCGUUCCAUGCCUUUCAAGUUCUGUUCGAUAUUCGGUACUUAUCGACAUCGACGAUCGUCUCGCUGUUAGAGUUGAUUUUACGAUAUUUAUAAAUAACUCCAAGAAAAAUAAAUUUGCGAAUUUAUUCGAUAUCAUUUGCCUAGUGAUCGAAGGGGCUCAAAAUUAAUAAUUUUAACGGCCGUGGCAAGCCGUUUGCAAGUUGAACGGUAUAGAAAUAUCUAAAUCACAUGAAAUUUUGAUAGAAAAUUAUUUAUACCGUAUAAAACAAGAUCAAUAAUUUUGAUCUAAAAUUUUAAUGUCAUAUCAUCAUAUUUUGUAAGAUUUUUAUUUUCAGCCGUUGAUUUUGAGCCACUUCGAUCACUAGGCAAAUGAUAUCGAAAAAUCGCAAAAUUUAUUUUCUAGAUACUUCAAAUACUCUAGAUCAAGUCUAAUAGAGCCGAUCAUCGAUUCGAAAGUCCGAAUAUCGAAAACAACUUAGAAGCACGGAGCGCUUCGUGCUUCCAGAAGCAUACCAGACGCACUCACACACACACACACACACACACACACACACACAUAUAUAUAUAUAGUCCGGCCAGAAUACUAUCGAUAGCACCAAGCAUUUUGUGCUAUCAAGUUUUCCACCGUGAGAUUUAACCCUUUAACUAUUUUCACCCGUUAGAUUAUACUAUUAAACCAAUAACUCACUCAACCCUAAAGGGCCCACAUCAUCCUAACUAUACGAUUUUUAAUCCAAGAGUCGAAAACCUGAUAGCACUAAACGCUUGGUGCUAUUGAUAGUAUUCCAGCCUAGGUCUAUAUAUAUAUAUAUAUAUAUAUAUAUAUAUAUAGAGAGAGAGAGAGAGAGAGAGAGAGAGAGAGAGAGACUAUCGUGCUUUUGUAAAAGUACCAAUUAGCACAUGGUGCUUAUAUAUUUUUUACUGUUAGAUUUACGUCUUUUAUCAUUUUCAACCAUUAGAUUAUACUAUUCAACCAACCACCUACUCAACCUUAGGGGGUUCACAUUAUCCUAACCACACAUAUCCCUUAAUCCAAUGGCCAAAAAUCUACAAGCACCGUACUCGGUACUUUUAAAAGCAUAGUAGCUCAUAUACCACCCACUUAACCCUAGGGGGCCCAUAUCAUCCUACCCACAUAUCUCUUAAUCCAAUGACUAAAAAUCUACAAGCACCAAUAACUUGGUACUUUUGAAAGUAUAGGAGCUCAAUUUUAUAUAUAUAUAUAUAUAUAUAUAUAUAUAUAUAUAUAUACUUUUCAACCAAUUAACUACCUACUCAACCCUAGGGGGCCCACAUCAUUCUAACCGUACAUCCCUUAAUCCAAUGGCCAAAAAUCUAUAAAUACAAAUAACUUGGUACUUUUAAAAGUACUAGCCGAGCAUACGUGCAAAUGCACGUAAAAAUUAUUUUAAUUUAUUUUAAAUAUAAAGUUUUAUAUUAUAUUUAUUAAAAAAUUUAUAAUAAAAAUUAUAUUUUAUAAAUGAAUAUAUUAUAUUUUAUUAGAUAAUUUUUUUCAUAUAUGCAUUGAAUAUUUUUAUAUAUUUUUUGAAUUUUGAUAAAUUUAAAAUUAUAUUAUAUUAUUUAAACUAAAAGCUCAAAAUUUAAUUAAAUAUUAACUUUAAAUUUCAAUUUUAAUUCACGUGUAAAUAAAUAUUUUAAUUCAUUAUAUUCAAAUUUGUAUCAAAUUAUAAAUUUAAAUUUUUAAAAAUUAUAAUUUUGAUCCAUUGUAAUAUAAAAGCAAUUUUAACAGAUUGAUCACAUCAUUUAUUUUUAAUUGAGAUACUUUUUUUAACAAAACCUGAAUUAUAAUCGUUCGCGAACAGGGAAUAUUCGUUUUAUUCUUUUUGAUUUCGUUGGUGUUUUUAUUAGUUGUUUUUAUUGGUUACUUCUUUUUGAAUUCGUCUGUCAUUGUGGGAAUUUCUAUAUCUUUUAUAAUACGUAUAAAUAGGAGACUCAAUUAUUAUUAUAUUAUAUAGAGAGAGAGAGAGAGAGAGAGAGAGAUUGAGAAAGAGAGAGAGAGAGAGAGAGAGAGAGAGAAGAAGAGAGAGAAGAGUUGGACUGGGCUACUAUAUAGGGCAAAAUUUAUUGUUGCUAUAUUUUUUUUAGCCUUAAUCAACUCUUUUCAUUAUUUCUAACCAUUGGAUUAAAUACUAUAACCCAGUGGGGACCACUCAACCCUAGGGGGACCACUCAACUCUAAUCGACUAAUAUCAUCCUGACCCUAUAAUUUUUCAUCCAAGGGUUAAAAACUUGAUAGCAAAAAGAAAAUUUUACUAUUAAUAAUAUUACAGUCUAAUUAUAUAUAUAUAUAUAUAUAUAUAUAUAUAUAUAUGAUUUUUAUUUUUUUUUUUUCGGAUUCAGCGAUAGUAAUAGACCUGCGGAAUCAACCUCCGCUAGUGGAUGGGAGUGCGGGUCUACAUCGCAACGGCAUUUUUGGAUUCCACCGUUUCGAUUGCCUUUAAAAUUUAUCGGCGAUCGGUCAACAACAACUACAUUGCAGAAGUGGUGUCUACGCCAAUAAUUUAGGGUCUUUACAGUUUGUGGAUACAAUUUAAAUUGCCUUUUCUUACAGUCACUAUUGUUCUUCCACUACAACAAAUUUUGAACAACAAAAUAUUUGAGGAUACUUUAAAUAAUAACUAACGAUAUUUUAUAAUAUCGGCAAAAAUAAUUCCGACGAUGGUAAAAGUGUCGAGCAAAGAACGAUGGAAAAUUUUUAUUAGUAUUUGGUAAAACUAUAGUUAUCGGCGACGCUUAAUUAUAGUAUCGGCACACGUCAAAUACUGAAUAUGCUAGAAUAAAGUGUUGUCUAAAAAAUAUUUUGUUGCAAUGUUCAAAUGUGUUAUAUAUUGUCAAAAAUUAAAGUAUUACCAUAUGAAUUCAAAAUUUUCUUCUCUAAUACUAAGUUAAAUAAUAUAAACCAUAAUUAUUCCCAAAAUCUUUAAGGUGUUAGAAAAAGAUAUUUAAUAUCAUGUAUUCAACAUAUAUUCAACUAAUUUUCUAAAAAACAAUGGCUAAAAUAUAAAAAACCUACUUGUAAAUACUUUUUUUUGUUUUUUUCUGACUUUGAAAAAUUUAUUUUUUAUCCCACCAAAUUUUAAGUUGAUGCAUUUUGCCCUCUUUCAUUUGGAUUCCAUCGCUAUUCCGUCUUAUUUUUAUAAUUUACAUCAAAAAAAUUAUUAAAAAUGAUAAAAAUAUAUUAAUUUUUUUCUUAUAAAAUAAGUCAGGGUAAGUUGGUCAUUUCGUCAUCGAUCUUUAUUAACCACGUAAUCCGUUGAGAACAUUUUUUAAAUUUUAAAAAAAUAAAAUAUAAAUUUUUAAAAAAUAAAAAAGUAAAACAAUAUUUAUUUACAUAGACCUUUUUUAUAUUGUGGCAAUAAACAUUCAAACAAAUAUUAUUAUUAGGGUUAUUAUUACUUUACUAUAUAUGAUUUAUUAUGAUCCACAAGAGGUGGAUGCAUGGGAGUGGUGGUGCACAUACAUAUGGGAUCGAGAGGUCCCCACACAAUAAAAUUUAAAUAAAAAGAUUAUAAGUGGCCGUCGGUACGGAUCGUAUCCACCGUGUUAUACUGUACCAACAAGAUACCGGCACGAUACAAAUCCCGUACCGAUGGCACAGCUCAAAACCCUCUAUUUUUUAAAUUAGUAAAUAAUUUUUUCAAUAAAAUUCAAAAGAUAUGAUAAAAAGACAUAAUAAUUAAAUAGUUAGAAUAUUUUGUUACUAAAAAAAUAAAUAUUUCAUAUUACUAUGUGUCGGCACAUAAGAAUUUUUUUAACCGACAAGCAUCGGCACAGCUCGGCACGCACCAUACCGGCAAGUUUCAGGCACGAUUCCGUGCUACGACACUUAAAUUCUUGGUGAAACUAUAAAACUAGUAUUUAAAAAAAAUUUUAUAUAUAUUUUUUCAAAAUUUUAAGUUGAGGAAAGUGUAUAUGCACGUGUGUUGUGUGCGUAGUGCGUGUAGUGUGUGCGCCGGUUAAAGUAGAGGAGGAGAGUGUACCAUGAGCUGCGUGAUGUGGGGGUGGUCGGAAACACCCCGCGGUGGUGGUGGUGGUGGUGGUGGAGGUGGAGGUGGUGGUGGUGGUGGCGGCCCACGUACCGUUUUGUGGGAGACGAGAGGAUGACAUAAGCUCGCGAGAACGGUGACGACAAAUUAAGUCUUCUAUUUUGCGUGCAUGCCAUUUUGCGCCAAAUCAAUUUUAUAAACAGUGCUGGAAUGCUUUUACGAGUGCCAAAUUCUUUGUGCUUAUAUUUUUUUGGCCUCUUCUAUAUAUUGUGUAUGAUCUAUGGAGCAGAACUUUCAAUUCGUAUAUAAUAGAGUAAACUUAGAAAUACUAUCUCUAUGAUUUUGUACUUUUUUAUUUUAUUAGCUUGUGAUUUAAAGUGUAUCAGUUUAGUACUCUGUGAUCUAUUAUAUAUAAAAAAUAUCAAAUACUACAUAUAUAGUUUAUCGAAUAUUUACUUUAAUAUCUUUUAGUUUUAAGUUUGUCACUAAUUUAACGAAAAAAAUUAGUGGAAAGGAAUAACAAAAAUAAAAAAAUAAAAUCACAUGGUACAAAAAUAAAAAAGUAUGAAACCAUAAGAAUAGUAUUUAAAGUUUUUCCUAUAUAAUAUCUAAUAUAAAAAAUCGCUAAAUCUGCAACCAAAAAGAGCUAUAUUUAUACUGCUCCUUGUCCAAAAAUUCUAGGUUUCCUAACUUUUUUUUUUUUCAAUUUUUAGUAAAAAUGAAACAAUGGAGUAAUAAACUUAUAGGAAAAAAGUGGGCUUUGGAUGAUGCAGUAGUGGCAGGACAAUAGCUAGAGAAGAGGGUAAGAGUUUUUUAUUUGUUCUGUGUUGUGUGGUGCCCCUUAAAAGUUUGCGCAUGUAGCUAUUUCAUAAUUUUAUUUUUAUUUUAGGCGAAAUUCUAAAAAACUCUUCUCUAAAUAUUUGUUUUUUUAUUUUUUUCUGACUUUUAAAAAUCUAUAUUUUGCCUGAAAAUUUUUAAAAUAUUUUUAGGAGAGUACCGUUAAUAGAGAGAGCAAAAUAACCAAAUGACCCUUACUUCUUCUAUAAAAGAAUAACUUUUUAAUAUAGUUCUGUAAUUUUGAAGGAUAUUUAAAUAUAAAUUAUAAGAAAUAAAUAAAAUAGUGAUGGAAUCCUGAAUUGUAAUUUGAUAAUAAUGUUUAGGCAGUGUUUGGUUUGGAAACUAGGGGGGAAAUAGGGGUUAUUCCCCCUUUGUUCCCGAAACAAGAAAGGGGCUAAGGUGGGAACAACUAUUCCCACCUGAGAGUGGAACUACGCGUUCCCACCUCUCUCGCCCCACUGUUGCCCCUCUCUCUCGCCGAAGCUACCGUUCCCCUUUCCACUUCCUCUUCCAUCCACGGUUUACUGUGCGCGUUCGAUCGACGAUCUUCUUCCUGUUGGCUUAAAUGGGCCAGCAUCCUGCCCUGUGGCUGGAGGCCAUGUGGGCCGAGUCAUAUUCGAAAUGGCGUGAGGCUGGGUUGGGCCGAGUCAUGAUCGAAGUGGCGUGAGGCCAGGUGGACCAAGUUACAAUCGAGACCCAUGGGCGCUGUUUCUGUACGCUUUAAGUAAAUUGGUUGCGUAUUUCUAACAGCUCGAGCUUUUGGGAUUAAUGGUUAGCGCCAACGAUCCGACAAGUGGUAUCAGAGACAGAGGUCACGGGUUCGAUUUCUGCAUGCUGCAAAUGUGUGCACGUGCUGGAGGGGGGAUUGUUGGCCUAAAUGGGCCAGCAUCCUACCCUGUGGCGAGAGGCCAUGUGGGCCGAGUCAUGUUCGAAAUGGCGUGAGGCUUGGUUGGGCCGAGUCAUGUUCGAAGUGGCGUGAGGCCAGGUGGGCCGAGUUACAAUCGAGACCCAUGGGCGCUAUUUCUGUACACUUUAAGUGAAUUGGUUGCGUAUUUCUAACAGCUCGAGCUUUUGGGAUUAAUGGUUAGCACCAACGAUCCGACACUUCCAUCCUUCGACAGAUCUGAUGCCAUCGGAUCUCCUAAUGCUACCUCCUCUUCCUCCUCGGAUCUCCUAAUGCUACCUCCUCUUCCUCCUCGGCACCGUCCCUCUCUCUCCGAAGCUGUCGCUCCCAUUUCCUCUUCCUCUUAACUCCGUGGUUUACUGUGCGCGUCCGAUCUACGAGCUUUUUCUAUCCUUUGACAGAUCUAGUGCCACCGGAUCUCCUACGGCUACCUCCUCUUCCUCCUCCGCACCGCUUUGCCUCUCCUCCUCCCCGCUCGGCUUCGUCCUACUCCUCGGGUUGGCCGACGGCUGCGAUCGAUAUGAUUUUGGAGCUUUGGCCUCGACCCUAGACAGCAGAUCUGCUAGAUCUGGCUUUAUAUUACACAAGAAAAAUCCUUUUGUGUGCUCUUCCCCCUCUCUGUAUGAUUUUGUGGCUUUCGCCCGACGCCCGCCACUAGCGCAGGACCCUGUCUGUGGUCUCACGUCUCUCCGGUCAUCUGUACCUAUCCUCCUUCUCUCACUGCUUCUUGCUGCAACUUGGAGUGCCGUACAAUUGUCCUCUGCAGUCCCUAGAUCUAUUCGGCCGAGCCCUGUAUGCAGAUCUUGUAAAUCUGAUUAUACCCGAGCCAUUUUUCUUUUACUUUUGCAGGUAAUUUGUUUCCACGGCAAUGCCGCUUCGUGUUGAAAUCCCCUGUUUGUGCAUCCCCUGUUUAUUCUGAUCCCCAGCUACGAUAAGGUUUGGUCUUAUCAAGAUUUCAUUGCUCUAACAUCCAAGUUUGCUCUAACCUUUUUUAUGAUUAGAGGAUAUAUGACUUGCUGCUUUGCAUGAGAAAAUUCUAUCCAUAUCUGAUCUUUAUUUAUGAUUACUCUAUGCCGUCGCUAAAAUUCAGAACCCUGUGGCAGCAUGUUUUUAUUAUAACUCUAAUUUAUAUGUUUGUCGGAAUGCAUGAUAUAGUGAGAAAUUGAUUACAGUAGUUUGUAUGGUAAUGAAGGAUGCGAAAGAUUGUUUUGGCGAUGAUGACGGUUUCGAAUAGCAUUAGAUGGAUGGCAUGAUUCUAGAAAUCAAUACACCCCAUGCUCCUUGGAAACCAUUUUGAGCCGCAUGACCCAAUAUCACACCAUAAGAUGCCGAUUUCUAUCUUAUUAUACAAUCUUUCAAGUGCAUCAUUUGAUUCUAAUCAGUUAUAGUUGUCAUAUGCCUUCACUUGUAUUUCAUUGUAAUAAGUUUCUAAUACUUCAGUUUUGAAAAUAGUCUUCCAUAUGUUUGAACAUAGUCAAACAUAAAUAUGCUUAGCUAGUUUAAUUUGUACAUUUCUCUCGCCAUCUUUAUUAGCUUCUUGACCGUAAUGUAUAUAUGAUGUUAUGAGCUUGUCACAUACACAUACUUAAUUGUGUCAAUCCACAUGAAUGGUAUGGCAGUGAAUUGCUAUUUGCUUGAACCACAUAUGCCUCCUGUCAAGAAACCAUCUAAGUCUGCUCAUGAGAAAGGUGUGGUGUUUGAAACCAUACCAAUAAAAAAUUUACAUGUGGAAGGUAGUAGCAGAUUGUAUAACCAAUUUUGGAAGCGAACUCCAAAUUGGACCGACAGUAUGGAUGCUACCUUGCUUAGUCUACUGACAGAAGAACACGCUUCAGGAAACUAUACCAAUGGGUCGUUCACAAACGUUGCGUGGAUUAGAAUAAUAACUGAUUUCAACAGUAGGACCAAUAUGAACUUGACAAGGGAGCAAAUAGAGAACCGGCUUAAAGUGCUAAAGAAAAUGUUCAUGUUGUACAACUGUCUUGCAAAUAAGAGUGAGUGGGGAUGGGAUUAUGUCCAGAACAUUCCCACGGCUGGUGAUCGAAGUUACUGGGAUGCAUAUUCCGGUAGUUGUCCGAAAGAGCAAGCAACCACGAUUUAGGUGUCGCAAAGGAUUUACAUCACAGGAUAUGAUGGCUGCUGUAUCCUUUGAUCAUAUAUUUCUAUUUGUAUGUAUAUGAUGGGAAGGUUCAGCAACUGAUAUGAGAGUAUUAAGAUGAGCUUGCGAAAGUGGAGGGUUUACUGUUCUCGAAGGUAUUUGCCGUUUAUUUACUUUUUCGAAUAUUAUACUGCAUAUUACUUAUGAAUGAUCUUAUAUUACAAUUUGAGACUUACAUUUCUCGACAAUGUUCGCAGGCAAAUAUUACUUGGUACAUUCUGGAUAUGCUAAUAUAGAUAAAUUUUUUGCCCCAUAUCGUGGAGAGAAAUACCAUCUUAGUCAAUUUGAGGGUAAUACGCGUGGCCGCACACAUCGCAAUCCGCGGGACUUGUAUAAUCAUCGGCAUGCUCGACUACGAAAUAUUGUAGAGAAGACUUUCGGCAUAUUGAAGAAGCGUUUCAAGAUUCUAAAUCAUGCAACUCCAUCCCCCUAUAAAGUCCAAUAUCUUAUUGGUAUGACAUGUUUUGUCAUACACAACUUUAUUCGACGACAUUACGGAGCUGAUAGAUUUUUUACUGAAGAUUUGACCCAUCGUCUCCUAAGGAUGAAGAAGAAGAUCCGAGCUAUUUCGGCGCCACGUCGGACUCACAUCGGGGCGACGAUAUUCGAAUUAGUAUCACAGACCAGUUAUGAAAUAGUAGAAAUUAAUUAUUUAAACUGUCAGUUGAAUUAGAUUGAUUUAAAUGGGUAUGCUUCCAGAUGUGAUAAUUAUAUGUGCUUGUAUGAAAUAUGUAGACAUAUUUCGCUUUGAUUGCAUACUUAGUAAUGUCUGCUACGCUUUUGUAACCGUUUGGAUUGUUUUUAUUUUAUUAUGUUUUAUUGUAAAUAUUUGGUAUAGUUUGUUACAUAGUCUUUGUUGUAUUAAUUAUUUGCUAACAUGAUUAUAAAUCUUUUUGCAGUAUUUGUAACAUAUGGUAUGUAACAUAUGUAUUGGAAUAUUUUUAUUUUAAUUUGUUUUACUAUAGUUAAUUAUUUGGUAAUAUGGUUAUAAAGCUUAUUGCAGCAUUAUUAAAUACAUUUAAUUUUAGGAAAAGUUUAAUUUAAUUAUAACGAGCGAAAGUUUGCUGAAAAAAAUUUAUUUUCAAAAAUAAUAUUUUUUUUUAACAAUAUAAUAAUUAAUUAAAUAAUUUUACUACAACAAAAAAGAUUAGAGUAAUUUAUAUUUAUAUUUAAUUAUACCACAUUUUGCUUUUAUAGGAUUAGUGGCACGAGGGAUAAAAACUUAAUUUUAACUUUUAACCAACAUUUAUUCAUCUUAUUCUAUCUUAUACAUCCAAACACUAUUUUUCUUAUACCUGAUACAAAUCUAAUACUCAACCAAGCACAAAAUGCAAUAGUUCCAGCUAGUUCCAAUAUUUGCAUCUAUCUCUGAAAUAAGUAGUUCUAGAUUAUACCCGAACCAAACGAUACCUUAGAGUAUAAUAAUGACAAUGUCGUGUAAUCUACAACAUUGUGGGGGACCCAACUGGAGUACCCGUAGUAAUGCUCUAUUUGAUGUCAUUAGUAUAAGCCAAUAUUGUUCAGUGGAGGAGGAACGUGAUGAAGCUUGUCCCUAUAGAAUAUUACUCGCAUUCAAAUAGCAUCCACCUAAGGUGCCGAGUCCACUGAAAAAUCAUUGGAUGGUACUACUUUUUGCAUCGCCAUUAAUAAACAAGUUGCAUCACUACUAUUUUUGUACUGUGACAGGAGAGUGGUAGAUUCUGUUUUCGUUUUAAUUUUUGCUUUUUCUUGUUAAAACAUUAAACUAAUAUAAGUAUAAAAAUUAAAGUUUUUACUGCAGCAAAAAGCAGAGAUGAUAUUCAAAAAAGCGAAAUAAACAAAUUUUAUGCCCUAUUUGGUAUUCCUGUUCUUUUUUUAAAAUAAAUUUUUUGUAAUAAAGUAUGAGUAAAGAGCAUAAAAAUAGUGCAGUUUAGUUUUGUUUGGCAACAAAGAAUAAAGAUACUGUAAUACUAUUUUUCCUUUUUCAGGUUUGUAAUUGAAAAAACAAAAACUUUCUAGCAUCCAACUGAGUUGCAACACAGUUUUUAUAAAUAAAAAUGAAUAAAUGGCAUGAGGUCUUAAUAUAAAUUUUUUUUAUUCUACUAAGAAAAUGUGUCAUCUAAGAUAGGUUGAGAAAAUAAUGACAACAUCUAUAUAUAUAUAUAUAUAUAUAUAUAAUUGAGCUCCUAUGCUUUUAAAAGUACCAAGUCAUUGGUACUUUUAAGUUUUCGGCCUUUGAAUUAAGGAAUGUGCGGUUAAAAUGAUAUGGACCCCUUAGGGUUGAGUGGGUGGUUGGUUAAAUAGUAUAAUCUAACGAAAAAAAUGAUCAAAGGCGUAGAUCUAACGGUAAAAAAUUUACAAGCACCAAGUGCUUUGUACUUUUACAAGUACCGUAGCCAGACUCUAUAUAUAUAUAUAUAUAUAUAUAUAUAUGAGUCCGGCUACUAUACUUUUAUGAGUAUUGGUUCACUUAUACUCAUAAGUUUUCGGCCCUUAGAUUUAUUCCAUGAUCAUUUCCACCCGUUAGAUCAUACUAUUCAACCAACUACCCACUUAACCCUAGGGGACCACUAUCAUUCUAAGUGGGGACCACCAUUAUCCUAACCACACAUUCCAUCAAUCAACGGUUAAAAAUUUAUGAGUACAAGGGGUUCUAUACUCAUAAGAGUAUAGUAGCCCCAGCAUAUAUAUAUAUAUAUAUAUAUAUAUAUAUGUCGUGAUGACGAUGUACUACGAUGUACUGUGUUAACGAUAAGGACAUAUUGAAAAAGGAUAUUACUAAAAAAUAUUUGAGAAAAAAUAUAGGUGAAAAUAAAAAGAUAUUACUAUAAAAUAUGGUCUCAAAAAAAAUAUUAUUUUGUGUGUGAAUAAUAUUAAUGGACAAUCCGAAAGAUUUGGCAUAGUGUAGAUAUUAAUAUAUGCAAAGAUAAAUUGGAUAGUAUGGAUUAUAUCACAAGAUAAAUUGGAUAGUGUGUCUAUUAUAGUGUAAAAAUUUUAGAUCAUUAUAUGCGAGUAUAUUAAGAUAUGCUCUGAUUUGAGAAACACGUAAAAUAUUCUCGACGGCGGUAUUUCUUUUGAUAUUUUACUAAAAAAAUUCAAAAUGUAAAAAUUAUAUUAAUUAACCAUUUAGUUUGCUUUAGGUUGGUAUAAAUCUUUUAUGAACAUUCCUAUUGUGAUUGACAGAGAUAUUAGUGUGAGAAAGAAUAUUUAAGAAACACGUAAAUGGAGAUAACGGAUAUUUUAAUUUAUUGGCCGCUUUGAGAAUAACGUGUCGAUAGGAUAAAUUUAUUUAAUUUUAUUUUAUUUUAUUAUGUGAUUGGUGCUAUUACGUGUAGAAUAAAAUAUUUUAGAACGCCGUAAAUAGAUAUAAUUGUUAAGUUAUGACGAAAAUUACGUUUAGGAAAAUGCGUGAUAUUUGAUAAAACGCGGUAAGAUAGGAGAUAAUGGAUAUUGAGGGUAAUUUUUGUCAAGAAAAGUGACAGGAUACUUUAUUUUAAUCGUGGAUGAGAUUCAAUGAUAAAAAACUUAAGAUCUAUAUUUGAGAAUAUUUAUUAUCGGAAAAUUAUUUGAAACGAAUGGAUGAAAAUUACUGGACAUGAAAAUAUUAGUAGAAAGGGUAGACGUAUUUUUGGAAAGAGGAAAAAAAUUUAAAAAUUCACGGCUUUUAGUAAUAGGGUAUAUAAUAUAUAUAUAUAUAUAUUAUAGUAUAUAUAUAUAUAUUAUAUAUUAUAUAUUAUGUAGAGUUAGGUCUUAUGCUUUCGGAAAGUACGGUAUCCUACUUUGAGUUGUUUCUCGAUAAUGCGGACAUCCGAUUCGGCAAUCGGUUUCGUUAAACUUGAUCUACGCUAUUGGACUAUUUAGAAACCAAAUUUCAUAAUUUUAUGACUUCNNNNNNNNNNNNNNNNNNNNNNNNNNNNNNNNNNNNNNNNNNNNNNNNNNNNNNNNNNNNNNNNNNNNNNNNNNNNNNNNNNNNNNNNNNNNNNNNNNNNNNNNNNNNNNNNNNNNNNNNNNNNNNNNNNNNNNNNNNNNNNNNNNNNNNNNNNNNNNNNNNNNNNNNNNNNNNNNNNNNNNNNNNNNNNNNNNNNNNNNNNNNNNNNNNNNNNNNNNNNNNNNNNNNNNNNNNNNNNNNNNNNNNNNNNNNNNNNNNNNNNNNNNNNNNNNNNNNNNNNNNNNNNNNNNNNNNNNNNNNNNNNNNNNNNNNNNNNNNNNNNNNNNNNNNNNNNNNNNNNNNNNNNNNNNNNNNNNNNNNNNNNNNNNNNNNNNNNNNNNNNNNNNNNNNNNNNNNNNNNNNNNNNNNNNNNNNNNNNNNNNNNNNNNNNNNNNNNNNNNNNNNNNNNNNNNNNNNNNNNNNNNNNNNNNNNNNNNNNNNNNNNNNNNNNNNNNNNNNNNNNNNNNNNNNNNNNNNNNNNNNNNNNNNNNNNNNNNNNNNNNNNNNNNNNNNNNNNNNNNNNNNNNNNNNNNNNNNNNNNNNNNNNNNNNNNNNNNNNNNNNNNNNNNNNNNNNNNNNNNNNNNNNNNNNNNNNNNNNNNNNNNNNNNNNNNNNNNNNNNNNNNNNNNNNNNNNNNNNNNNNNNNNNNNNNNNNNNNNNNNNNNNNNNNNNNNNNNNNNNNNNNNNNNNNNNNNNNNNNNNNNNNNNNNNNNNNNNNNNNNNNNNNNNNNNNNNNNNNNNNNNNNNNNNNNNNNNNNNNNNNNNNNNNNNNNNNNNNNNNNNNNNNNNNNNNNNNNNNNNNNNNNNNNNNNNNNNNNNNNNNNNNNNNNNNNNNNNNNNNNNNNNNNNNNNNNNNNNNNNNNNNNNNNNNNNNNNNNNNNNNNNNNNNNNNNNNNNNNNNNNNNNNNNNNNNNNNNNNNNNNNNNNNNNNNNNNNNNNNNNNNNNNNNNNNNNNNNNNNNNNNNNNNNNNNNNNNNNNNNNNNNNNNNNNNNNNNNNNNNNNNNNNNNNNNNNNNNNNNNNNNNNNNNNNNNNNNNNNNNNNNNNNNNNNNNNNNNNNNNNNNNNNNNNNNNNNNNNNNNNNNNNNNNNNNNNNNNNNNNNNNNNNNNNNNNNNNNNNNNNNNNNNNNNNNNNNNNNNNNNNNNNNNNNNNNNNNNNNNNNNNNNNNNNNNNNNNNNNNNNNNNNNNNNNNNNNNNNNNNNNNNNNNNNNNNNNNNNNNNNNNNNNNNNNNNNNNNNNNNNNNNNNNNNNNNNNNNNNNNNNNNNNNNNNNNNNNNNNNNNNNNNNNNNNNNNNNNNNNNNNNNNNNNNNNNNNNNNNNNNNNNNNNNNNNNNNNNNNNNNNNNNNNNNNNNNNNNNNNNNGUUUGUCUAGUGAACGAGUAGCCUCAAAAUGAACGGCCGAAAAUAAAAAUCUCAUAAAAAAUAGUGAUAAAGGACUCAAAUUUUAAAUCGGAAGUAUUAAACUUGCAAUUGAUGUUAAGUAAAAUUUUCUAUUAAAUUUUUAUGUAAUUUGGAUACUUCUACACCAUUGAACUUAAAAACAUGCUACAUCGGCCGUUAAAAUAGUCUUUUUUGAGACUUUUUGAUCGCUUGGUAAAUGAUGCCAAAAAAUUAUAAAAUUUGGUUUCUAGAUAGUUUCAAUAGGAUAGAUUAUACUUAACGGAGCCGAUCGUCGAAUCGAAUAUCCUAUCAUCGAAAAUAAUUUACAAGUAAGGAGGUCUCCAUACUUUCGAAAGUAUAGAAGCCUAACUCUAUAUAUGUAUAUAUAUAUAUACUAAAUUUAACGCCAUCUAACUAACAUGGGUUGAAAAAAUAUAGUGGCUAGAAUAACCACUUUAGUAUAUAUAUAUAUAUAUAUAUAUAUAUAUAUAUAUAUAUAUAUAUAUAUAAAGAGAGAGCGCACAAUUAGCAUAUUCUUGAGAAAUUUGAAUGGGUGAGAAAGUUCUUUAGUCAAGAUGAUAGCAAUUUGAUAGUGUGACGCUACAUAUUGAAUAUUGAGAUCAUGUCGAACAACCAUUAAUUCUUGUACAAAAUAAUAAUUAAUUUUUGAUGAGUUUUGUUCGAGUAUAAAAAUUAGGAUCAAUAUGCGAGCCAGAUUGUACUAACUUUGUUACAAUAAAUAAAAGGUUUGAAAUGUAAACAGAGUGUAUAAAUUCGAUAAGGUUUGUACCUUUUUACUUUUUUAUAGUUGGCCAAGUCUUUGACAAGUCGAUCUAUUGUUUAAUACGAAAUAUGUGUACAGUACUAACACAAACUAUGUCCUGGUUUGAAACGACUACAAGGGCUUUUUUUGCAAAUGACCCUGUGAAAAAAAUUUUAUUUUAAAAAUAGUCCUGUCAAAAUUUAAUUUAUAAAAAUAGUUCUGACCCUGCCACGCAGGCGCCAUAUUAGCGCCACAAGGGCAGGACUGGGGCCAGUGUGUUAAGUUGAACACGGUGAACCAUUUACCGUAUUCAAACAAGGUGAAUGAUUCAUCGUGUUUCCUAUUUAUAUUCCUUUUCUUCUUUUUUAGGGAUGUCAACGGGUCGGGUUUGGAUCGGAUUUUUAAAAAAUUCGAAUCCGAAUCUGAAAAUCAAAUUAAACUCGAAUCCGAAUCCGAAUCCGGCGGGUUUUAAAAAUCCAUACCCAUAUAAUUGUAAUAUAUGGAUAUGGGUAUGGAUUUUUAAAACCCGUCGGGCUCGGAUUCGUAUUCGGGUUUUAAUUUGAUUUUCGGAUUCGAUUUCGGAUUUUUAAAAAUUCGAUGCAAAUCCGACCCGUUGACAUCCCUAAAAGAAAAAAGAAAAAAAAAGAAUAUAAAUAUGAAAUACGGUGAAUGGUUCACCGUGUUCAACUUAACACACUGGCCCCAGCCUUGUCCGCGUGGCGCUGACGUGGGGUCAUUUUUGCAAAUUAAAUUUUGACAGGACUGUUUUAAAAUAAAAAUUUGCCAGGGGGUUAAAUUGAAAAAAAGCCCCGACUACAAUUUUUAAAAGUUUUGAUUUGACUACAUAACAAAAACAAUUCUUUUACACGCAUCACUCGGUUUGCUUUUGUAUGCAUAGCCUUGUGGAGCACCUUCCAGCAUUCCAUUUUCUUAUUAGAAAUUUGCAAAGGCAGUACCAGAAUCUCUUUUGCAAUUAAAAGUAUAAAAAAGGUAAGGUACUAUGGAAAAUCACAAAGAAUCUGUUUAUGAAUUAUGCUUAAUAACAUUCACACAUUUGAGACUAAGAUUUUAAUUUUUAUCAAAUCACCCAAUCCUUUUCCCAUCGAAAUCCCCGUUUUCUUUCUCAUCAAUAUAAAUCUUCUCAAAGCGCCCGAGCGCACACACAGGACCAAAAAAAAAAAAAAAACAAAACAAAAACAAAAACAAAAACAAAAACAAAAACCUUCAGCUUUUGGAAAAAGAGAAAGAAACAUGGCAACUAACUCUACAAUGAAUUAGGUGAAACUGAUGCAUCAAUUAGAAUUUACAAUCCUACUUUGCUUCUCUCUCUAGACCAAGGUUCUUUUGCACUCUAUGAAUUGAAGAGGAUCUACUGCAUAAAUUACAUAACAUUAUACACAAAGGACCAUCCACUACCCUUCCAUCAAGAAAGAGUAGGUGGGAGAAGCUGCCACAAAUUUCACAAACCCAACAACCACCAGACAAUCGCUUUAUUAGCUAUGAGAAGCUGAGCCUGUCUACGGUCCCUGACAGCUCGAAAUCGACGGGCCCCACCACAUCGCUCCCGAUUAUCUUCUCUUCCGCCUUGUGGUUGCUGUUGAUCGUGUUCUGAUCGUUCGAUUCUGCGACGGUGGGAGCAGCAUUGCAUUCGUCAUAGCGAUAACAGGAGAUGAGGUGGUCGUUGGUCAUGCCUGAAGCCUGCAUGAAGGAAUAGACGACCGUCGGCCCGACACGUAGACCCCUCCGCACCAGGUCUUUGCUUAUGAAGUCGGCUUUGGGAGUCUUUACUGGGACCUGACGGGGGUGGCGGAAUCUGCUCACUAUGGGCUUGUAGCUCACAAAGCUCCAGCAGUAUCGAUCAAACGAUCCGAACUCCUCUAUGAUCUGUGCCAGGAAAUGAGCAUGAAGAUAAUUUACUUGGAAACUAUACAUAAAAACUCAUCGCUUUCAUUAAAAAUCCCAACGAGCUUAAAGCGGGUAAUGUUUGCAAUUUUCUGAACGCUAAACAGAAGGAAACCUCAGUAUAAACAAAUGAUUUCCAUUUUACACCCAUGAAAUAUUACAAGCAAUAUAUCUAUUACUCUAAACUACAAGAUGUCAUCACUUUGUCUCAUUCACAAGCGUUCUGUUAGGAGAUAUCUAUCACUUCGCUCAUAGGAUAAUGAGAGUAAAACGUAGCUUUUAAAAUACCAGAGGGCAAUGUGAAAGUCGCGUAUUUUAGCCUUUAUGAAUGAUCAAUCAAGUAAUUCAGAAAGAAAUUCAAAGAUUAAUUAACAAUGCAAGUGAGAAUAGCCCUAGACAAAAUAGGCUCCUUUCCAGACGAAAAUGACGGAAAUUCAAGGCUAGCUGACUAGAAGACAAGAGAGGGAGGAACCAACCUUGACAAUUUCAUGUGCAUUCUCGAUGAUGUGGCGGAGCUUUGUCUCGGAUAAUAGGAAGCUAGCAGGACUUCCUGGUGACAUAAUCUUCUUCUCAUUUAAUUGAGAGACCAAUACUGGAUCGAAAUCCAUAAAGACUUCCCUGUGAAAUAAAUUUAAGCAGACAAUAGGAUUAAAUUACAUAUGGUAAAUCAUCAAGUGGUUAUAUCAGUGCUGAAAAUUACCUGAAUAAGUGUCUCUUGCUAAGAAUUGCUGGCCAUGUAAGUUCAGCUAAUGCACCUGAUAGUACAAGCAGCUCAAACAACUUCCUGUAAUUUAAUGCAGGAAAAAAACAUAAUUUACAAAAAAUAAUUAAGGAGCAUCCAUUGUGAUAGAUUGAGGUAAGAGGGUUGACAUUGCAUACUUAUCAUCAUGCACUGGGACCCCCCACUCUUCAUCAUGAAAUGUUACAUAACAGGGAUCUGUUGCAUGUCAAAUCAAGAUUACAUGUUAACAUUUUUCUAAGGCAACUGCAGAUAAGAAUGGGCAAAAGAUACAAAGUGAUGCUAAGACAGCAAUCUAUUGAAACUUAUGUACCAACCCAUACAUUUAGGGACACUUGCAUUGAUGUAAUUGCAAGUUCGCAAUAAAUCAACUUUAGUGAGAACAGAAAUAUUAGUUACAUCUUCAACCAUGAUAAUGGCAAGGAGAUCUCAUGCCUAACCAUUGGCUUGAUUCAUUGAAAACACCUUCCCAUCGGAAAUGUCUGAGCUCAUGGAAAAUUCCAAAAUGCAGCCUGUGAUUAGGCAACUGUUCUCCAUAAUGUCAUCAUAGCCAACAACAAGACAAGUGUUUCUACUCUUAUAAGACUAGAUUUAUGAACAAAUCACAAUUAGAGCAAUCCAAACACCCACUUAGAAGAAUGAGAGAGAAACUUAUCAGCACCCAAAUCCUGAAGGCAUGCACAAUAAACUUACAUUUGACCCAAGAACAUGUAGAAGAAAAGAUAGAUUAGGUAUUAAAUAAUGAGAGGAACUGAAGGAAGGACACAAGGUGGAGACGGGUGCUGUGUAUGCGGGGGUGUGUUUAAACUGUUUUAGAUGCAAUCAAAAGAAUUUUUUCAGUUUCUCAUGUUUAUCUACAGUCCAAGUACAUCGAACACAAACUCGAAACUGCUCUCUUUGGUAGAAAAGGCAAUAACUUUUACACAAGCCAUGAUAUUCUUUUACUCUUUCAUUGUAAGAGAUGUAACUAAGCUUCAACUCAUUUAAUAUCUUCUCUCUACCUUUUUAUUCCUAGUGUGACAUGUCAUCCACCCAGCCCAUCUGGCCUUGGUUUAUCUCUAAGAAAUCUUCUGAUCACUUGAGGACGAAAAAGGAUGUGUAGCCAUUAACUAUAGAAAGGUCAAAAUGAAUCAGCUACAUUCAUUGUUGCCUUUCACAUACAUAGUGCAGCAAAUAUGCGAAAUUGCACAAAUACCCCUCCAAUGUUGGUAUUUGCAUGUGUAUCCUAGAAAACGUUACUUUUUUGUAGCAUGCCCCUGCCAAGUUACCUACUUGAAAACUUGAUAAAGUGUGCACGGAAAUAAAUAAGGUUCGGAAGCAUGCACAUUUGCAGGGUAUUUGCUCCAUUUCAUACAUUUGCAGAGGUAUAUAUGCAAAAACACCCCAACUAUAUUGCCCCCAUCAAAGUAGUCAUAUAAUUUAUGCAUAGCAAACAUUCAACUACUCAUUUAUCACAAAUUCACUAAAAUAUGGUGUCCCUAAGGAGCAGACCCAUCAGGUAAAUUUAAAAGUGGUAGAGCUAUCAAGAAGAAAGGAGAGGAAUUGAGAAGUCUCAUAUGAAAACAAAUUUAUGAACUUCUCUUUUCUGCGAUAUGAAAAUGGUUUAUGCUGAAUAUCGGAUUGAAAAUCAAAUGAAUUGUCAGAGAUGUUUGACAAAUUCAGGUUAGAAUUUAAGUCAUAAUGGCGAAUAAUUCAUAACUAAUAAUCAAUAUAUGCUUUAACCUCUUAUUCAUUCAUUGAGAGAUUGGAGAAAUAUAUGGGCGUUUUUUAAAUUGCCAUUUGGAUUUGUACCAUGAUGAUUACCAGUAACUUUCAUACAUCUAAAUUAUCAUGUGUUAACAUGUACAUUGUAACAAAAAAGACAGGAAGGUGCAUGUAUUCGAAAAAACAAAAAUUAACAGCAUUCAGUGGCACUCACUGCCAAAAUCUGAUAGUUAUUCACCACAACUAUACCAUUUUGUUUGUUGAUGAUUAAACUGCAUCUAUGUGCACUUCAAAAUUGUCAACAUGCAUCUAACAAUUUUAUCAACGGUGAUACUACUCACAGAACAACACUACUACAAUAUAAACCAAAGAAGGCAUAUCGGUUAUAUCCUCUGCAAGAUGACAUAGUGUCAAACUGUUGCUUAAGUUACAAUCCACAAACCACUUAAUAUACAAAGAAAAAAAACUAAGCAUAUCAAGCUUUCCAACGUCUUUUUCUCUUCCAAUUUACCAUUAUGUAGUAAAGAUUCAUCCUGAAAACAUAAAAAGAAUUUCUCAAACAUCUGCAUCUUCCAUCAAAUACAUGUCCUGCUUCAAUUUGACCAGCUACAAUAGAUACCAUGAGUUGUAUGAUUUGACUAGCUAAAAGUACAAAUAUCAGAAGCCUGACGAUAGAGAUUCUACCAUGUUGCUCCGGUACGACCACGACGUAUAGCCAUAUCUGGUGUAGUAUAGAUACGACUCUUUUAAUUAGCUAUUAAAUCAACUAAAAUGUACUCUAAUCCCACCACCGACAUAUGGUUGUAAUCCAAAAACCCUAUCAGAAGUUUUCAACAGUUAACUCACCAUUUCUAAUUAAAUUACGUUUCCCAGUACGAAAACAACGUUGCAUUCGGAUGCGAAAAUAGCCAAAUCUCUAACUUAUACUGACAAAAUGUAAUGUUAAUUGUUAAUGCAGUAAAAUUUCCACAUUGAAACAUUAAGCACAGGGAGGGCAAAUCAAUUAUAUACGCACCAGUAUUUGGAGUAACCCAAGAACACCUCCUCUUCACCGUCGAGAUCUCGACCGGAGGCACCGACGCACCAUCGGGAACAACUUUCUCCAGCUUAGCCGGGACUUUACUAUCCGACCUAGCGGAGCUCGGCCUCCGCCGGGCCGUGAAGCUCGGCCUCCCGAUCCUCCCCGUUGAGGCGCGGCUACAGAACGAAUCCGUGGAAGCAUCCGAAGAGCAAGAAGCGUUCAAUGAAAAGUUGGAGCGUAGCAGCAGCUCCUGCCUACGCAACACUGAGGGAGCACUUUGCGGCGCCGGCGAAGGCGAAGAGGACUUCUUCUCCUCCGCCUUGUUCGGCUUCGGGGAAUGCUUCCGAGGUAUAGAAGACGAUCUCGCCUUGUUCCCCCCAGGUCCGAGGAUCGGCCUCGCCUCCGAUUCCGCGACAUUAAUGGACCGCACCUUCGGAGCUCCCGUCGACAUCGGAACAAAAAACAAAUCCAAAACCCUAAGAUCUCACCUCCCAAAACCUCAUGGAACACGAAUCACACCUCCAGAUCUCAAAAAACCCACCACAAAAUCGAUCCCUAAAAGCUCCGAUCUCCAUCAAAACCCUAAGAAUGCGAACGUAGCACGAAACCUACCUCCUCUCGAAGCGAAAACCCCAAAAUCGAACGGAGAACAGCCCGACAUUGCGAAAACCUACUCGAAAACACCCAUUCGAGCAUCCAAAUCGCGAGAUUGCGAAGAAAAAUCGCUCCGAUCCUCCGUAAUCCGCGCGUCGCCGCCCCAAUCGAGCGCAAGAAACCCUAGCGGCGAAGGGAAACGCUCGGGGAUUCGAUGAUUCGGGGAGGAGAACGGAGAGAGAGAGAGAGAGAGAGAGAGAGAGAGUGUGAGGUUGUGAGGAGCAGGAAAAAAAAGGGAGCUUUUACUUCGCGAUUUUUGAACCGGGAGGUGACCGGAAGAUCCCGGUCGGGUUAGGUGGCUCGACCGGCUGUAGCCGGUGGCUUUGUCGGGAGAGAACGGCGGGGAACAGCUUCUUCACGCCCUAGGCUACCAGAAAUUUUACCAUGGACCCGGUGUAUAAGUACAUUUCAUACACCAUACACUUUGAAAUUUUUUAGGAUAAAUUUUAAUUUGACUUUUUAUUGUUCCCUUAUUUUUUUACUUUGUCGUUUUAUAGUUAAAAAUUUAUACUAAACAAUCCUAUGUUUAUUGCAUAGCAACGAUGUUUUGCUAAACGUAGUUUUAUAAAAUAGUAAAAUAAUAUAUUUUACAAAUUAUACUAAAAUAUGGAUAAUUGAAUAGCAAAAUAUUAUACAACUUUGCAGUUUUUAAAAAGUAUUAUUUCGGUAUGUUAUUUAACUUUGUUUAAUGCUAAGUAUUUAGGUGAAACAAAAUUUUUUAAAAAAAGCACAUGGCAUUUGAAUAGAACUAUUUUUAAAAAAGAAGUAAAACUACUAUGAGAAAAAUUAAAGUUUAUCCAACUUUUAUUACCGGCGCUUAAAAAUUAUAGCUAACUCAUAUUGUUUAAUGAUAUUUAAAAUGUCCAAGGCUAAAAGUUAAAUAUUUUGAAUAUUAAUUUCUUCUAAAUCAAAAAUAAUUUUUUAUGUAUUAUUAACUUUAUACAUGUCAUUUUUACUUAAUUAGAUUUUAAUUUAAGAUAUAAAUUAUCAAAUAUUACGUGUAAUAUUUUAUUUGUCUGAAUAUGCAGGGUUGUAAUUUUUACAUAUUAAAGCUCAUAAAUGUUAGACAUUAAAUUUUUUUAUAAAUUAGUCCAUUAUUAGUUCACACCAUUAACUUUUCAGAGUACUUAUUGUUUAUAUAUAAUUUUUAAUUACAUUAAAUUAAAUAACCAUAGAAGUUUUUCAUUUUUUGAUAAUAAUUAAUAAGAAAAACUUCAAAUACCACCUCUAUGAUUACACACUUUCUCACUUUAGUACCCUAUGAUUUAAAAUAUAUCAAUUUAGUGCCAUGUGGUUUCAUUUUUAUUUUUUUAUUAUCGAUUUCACUAAUUUUUUUCGUUAAAUUAGUGACAAACUUAAAACUAAAUGGUACUAUAUUGAAUAUUCGAUAAACCUAAGUAGGAUAUCUGAAGUUUCUUGUAUAUAAUUUAACGAAAUAUUAAUGAAAAAGCUAACGAAAAGAUAAAAAUUAAACCACAGAACACUAACUUAAUAUACUUUAAACCACAUGGUACUAAAGCGAGAAAGUACGAAACCACGGGGCGGUAUUUAAAAUUUACCCUUAUUAAUAAAUAUAAAAUAUGGUGUAUGAGAUGUACGAAUGCACCCGGUGCAGCAAUAAUUCCGGGGUGCGAGCAAUAAACGAAUCGAAUCUUUUGCUUUGGACUGUUUCAGUUUUCAUUUUUCUUUUUUUUCAGAUAUUUAGGUUUACUAAACACCCUCGGUGUUGUAAUUAUUUACGAGUUUGCGCACAAGCGUUAAUUUCUUCAAUACCCUUCUAAAAGGGUGUAAUUUCAUUAAUUUCCCUUCAAAUUCGUACCCUUAGGGUUUUUGUUAUAAGUUUUGAAUUUAAGAUUUAGAGGGGUAUUAAUAACAAUUACAUAGAGAGAGAGAGAGAGAGAGAGAGAGAGGGGUAUUAAUGAUAAUUAUAUAUUAUAUUAUAAAUUUUGGAGAGAUAUUUAUAAUAUUUUUAAAUUUAGAAAAAUAGAUCUGAAAUUAUCGUUUAGAUAAAUAGACAGGUGAGAUGUGUUAUAUACACUAUUUUCAGAAUUUAUGAAUAGUAUUGCUCAAGUUCAAUUGUUUUAAAUUUUUACCAUUAUGUGGUGGACUUUUAAGAAACACCAAUUCAAUCCCUUCAAAUUUUAUAAAAGUCUACUUCUGUUGAUUCAAGAGUUCUGAUUUAGGAGCGUAAUUUUUUUUUAAAAGGUGCAUCUUUUUAAACACUUUUUUUUCCUUUUAAAUUUUAUCUGCAUAAAUUUUAAUAUUUGUGGAGCGAAAUUCAAUAAUGGAGAAAAAAGUGUCUCAAAAUCCAUCUCGUGAAAGAAGCGUCAUAAGAAAAUAUAGAGACAUAUUAGAGUAUGUUUGCUUCACUGAAACCAAAAGUAGAGCGUGGAAUUGAUUAUAACCGUAAAUAUCUAUAUUUGUUAUUUGGUUCGUCGUAAAUUAAAUUCGUCUGUAAUUUUACUUUUUCAAAAAAUUGUAAUCGACUUUGUCCCGAACGGUGACAAAACAAAUUACAGAAGAAAAAAUGAUAAAAAUAAUAAAAAAUAACUAUCAUAAUUUUUUUUUUUACCCUCUUAUGUAAUAAUGCAUAAAAUUUUCAUAAUAACAUACAAAGAAAAUGGAACAACUACAAUUUCUGAUUUAUUAACUUUAUAUUAAAUAGAUAAUAAAAAAUAAUUUAUACUAGAGUUUAAGUAAAAAUAAUUUUUAUGUUAAAAUUUUGUUACGCGGUUACGCCAAAUAAACAGUUCUAAGAAAUUUUUUGUAUGGAGCAGUGAAUUGGACACGUGGUGCAAGUUUUGUCCUUAGAAUGGAGUAAAAAAAGAUUUUUUUUUUUUUGGAAAAGCUUUAAAUAUCAUUUCUGUCAUUUCGUAUUUUCUCAUUUUAAUACUCCGUAAUUUAAAGUGUAUCACUUUCGUACCCUAUAUAUAUAUAUAUUUUUUUUUUGUUAUUUUUUUUACUAAUUUUUUUCGUUAAACCAGUGACAAAAUUAAAACUAGAGAGUACUAAAAUAAAUAUUCGAUAAACUAUAGAUGGGAUAUCUGAAGUUUUUUAUAAAUAAUUUAAUAAAAAGUUAACAAAGGACCGACAAAAAAAAAAAAAUGAAACUACAGAAUACUAAAUUGAUAAAUUUAAAUCAUAAUAUAUUAAAAUGAAAUAGUGUGAAACUACAAGAAAGUUAUUUGAAAAAAAAAAAAAUUUUAUUUUGGUUUGGUUUCACUUCUUUUUGUUUUGUUUUUGUUUUUGUUGUUUCCAAAUAAAUUUUUGAAAUGACUAAAUAUUUGGGACAUUUCACACUUGUGUACAAAAAGAUCCUUUUUGGCGUUUUCUUAUUAUCUCCCAUGGGCACUUUUUUUUUUUAUGAGUUACAUUUUUAUUCUGGCUUAUUCUAACGUAUUAAUUUAGUUUUACCAAAAUUUGACUCUCUUUCAAUUCUAAAAUAGAAACUUUAAACUUUAAAAAUUUUAAAACUACUAUCUAAUGUUGCAUUGUCUUUGAGAUAGACAUCUAAAUUUUAAAUAUUUUGAUUUGAUUUAUUGAUCGUAUAUCUUACAAUAUUUAUGAGAUUUUGAUGAAAUAUUUUAUUAGAUUACAGAGUAAAUCAUUAAGAUGGUACAAAUACUACUGAUUUAAUUAGGCCACUAGGUGGUAAAAUAAAAAUAAAUAAAAAAAACACACACACACACACAUUAAUUUGAAGUACACUGCUCAAGAGUACUGUAAAGUUAAUUUGUAAAAAUUAAAAUUUUGCGAGUUUUGAUACCUAUUUCAAAAACUGCUAUUUUAAGUUGUUAACACUUGUAAAUUUUCACCUUUAAAUUGAUUUGGUUCUCGAAGUAUGUGGUUUAAUUAAGGGAAUGUUUAGUUUCUUAAAAAGGAAUAAUUACGUAUAUACCUUUCAAAACUUCGAAAAUAUCUCAUUUAUUUUUUUUUUCUUCUUUCCAAUAUACUCCUCGUGUUCCUCCGUUAUUCCAAAAUAUCCUUCCAGUUACCACCCGUUAAGUUAACUUGAAUUAAACGUGAAUUAAAUAUUUACCACAGUUAAAACAAUUAAAAUAUUAAUUUUACUCUUUAUUUAAGAGCAAAUAAGAAAUAUUGGUGACAGUAGAGGGGUAUAUUUGAAAAGACCAAAAGUCAAAAUACUUUUUGUGCUCCUAACGUAGGCUUCGUUUGGGAUUGCGGAGAGAUUGCAUUACGUGCGGUGGGAAAGUAGGUUGGAAAAAUAUUCUGUUUGGAAAAAUAUUCUGUUUGCUUCCGCGUUCCGCAUAUUGUGAUGAGUCGGUUACGAUAUAUUUUCUGCGGUCCCAUUGGAGAACACAGAAACAUAUCCCUAUAUAUUUUUUCCUCAACUCCAUUUUAUCUAAUAACGUUAGAUAUACUUCAAUACCAAACUAAGCCUUAAUAGCAAAUAAGAAAAGUCGGUGAUGAUGGAAAGGUAUAUUUGAAAGGGCAAAAUAGUAAUUUUAUACAGAUAACAGAGUUUAUUAACAGAUUUUAACUCUAUGGGUAUAUUUGAAAUAGGUUGAAACGUAAAAAAGGUAUUUUCAAUAUUAGCCUUGUAAGAGGGAUAAAUAGAAAGUCAGGAACUUUUCAGAGGUAUAAAAGCAAUUGUCCCUCUUAAAAAAUAUCUCAGAAAAUAAUUUUCUGAUUAGAAAAAUAUUUUUCAUCCAUUUGGUCCUAAUGAAAAAUAGCAUUUUUGAAAAAAAAAAAAAUUUCAGAUUUCAUGAAAAACGCUUGUUUUGAUUUUUUUUUAUUUUUUAUUUGAAAAAUGAAACAUUAGAAAAAAAAGAUUUUUAUGAAAAUCUUUUUUUAAAAUACAGUUUUUUAUGAUUUUCUGAGAAACCAGAAAUUGCCAUGAAUGUUAACUGUAACAUGUGUGACAAAAAAUUAGGGGCUAAAUUAUUGUAAUUAAAUUAUGAGAAUGAGAUUAAGAUAACAUGAAGUUUAAAUGCCAACAUUUUUAAACAUUUCUUUAGGAUAUUGCUAUUAGCAAAGCUUAUUUAAAUUGAGCUACUACUUUUGAAUUAAAUUUCGUCAGAUUUAAUAAAACUGAUGAUAGGUCAAUAAAACUGAUUUUUAAUAUUAAUAAAUAGAUUCAUUAAAUGCAGCUACCUCUCGCGAACAAAAUUUGAAUGAAUUUAAUAAAAUCCAAAUUUAAAUAAUGGACUAUUUGGUUUCUCGGAAAAGAAUUAAAAAAAUGAGAAAAAGUUUUUUAUGAAAACUCCUUUUCAGUUCUCCGCCAGUUUGGUUCCACAAAAACUAAAUUUUCCCUAGAAAGCUUUUUUUUAAAUAUUUUAUAGUAAACUAUUAUUUUCAGUUUCCUAAAAAAAUUCAAAAUUUUCAGAAAAAACUAUUUUCUUUUUUCAGAAUCAAAAACUAAAAAUGAAAUUUUUUUUAUGAAAAAACAUUUCUCAAAAACGCUUUUUUUACAUUUAGCCACCUUAAAAAAAAAUUUCUACAAAGAGUGCUAUAAAUUUUAGAUAUUUGCAAGAUUGGUCAUAUCCCCGUCACGCGAGCGCCACGCGAGCAUCGAUGGCAGUGGAGAUUAAGUUGAACAUAGUAAACUAUUCACCGUGUUGUUUGGACACGGUGAAUGAUUCACCGUGUUCUAUUAUUUUUCGUACAACUACGUGAUAUUUGGAUGAACUAUUCACCGUAUUCAAAUAUGGUAAAUGAUUCACCGUAUUCAACUUAAUAUUCAUCACCGCUCACGUGACGCUCGCGUAGCGCUUACAUGACGGGAAUACGACCAACCUUGCAAAUAUAAAUUUUACAGGACUAUUUAUAAAAGAAAAAAAAAUACUGAGGGACUAAAUAAAAAAAGAGCUUCUCAAAAGACUUUUUUUUUUUUUUCCGAGAAACUAAAUAGCCUUUACGAAAAAUGCUAUCCAUACACUCAUUUUGGAGUAUAAAUCAAACACCCGAUUAAUUUAAUAGAUGAAAUUUUUUUCCCUGAUCAUAUUAUUUAUUAUUAUUAUUAUUUUCAAAUUCUUCCAUGAAAGGGUUGUGUCACCAAAAAAUAUUUUGAAUUCGAUUAGGCUGGGGCCCACCAUGGCCAAAUCCAAGAUGCCCGACCCUGUCGGCGCGGACUCCGAGGGAGUUGUUAAAAACUAUUUAAUUUAUAUUUAAUUUAUUUUUUUUGCGAAUAAUUUGCGCAAUUUUUGCUCAACGGUUGGAGAGGGGGUCGUUAGAGCAGGUAGAGGGAAUAUGUAAUUACGUGCUUUUUUUCUUUUUUUCUUUUUUUCUUUGUGUGUGUGUGUUGUUUUCAUUGUAUACAUACAUGCACUAGGGAGUAAGUUUACUGUAUUUGUAUACGUAUGUGUCUUAUACAUUGCACUUAGGGCGCGUUUGGUUCGCACUAUAAAAAAUUAUUAGAAAUAAAAAGAUGUCCGAGAAUUUUAUUUCUAUUCAUUCUAUUAUUAAAAAUGUGGUAUUCUUAUAUUUGGUUCGCACGGUCAUAUUAUUUAGUCAUGUUAUUUAAAAUUACAAAAAAAUAUAAUUUAUUUAUUUAUUUAAGUUUAAAUAAUAGUAUCAAAAAUUUCAACAUUCUUUUAGAAAAAAGGAAAAGAGAAUAAAUGUUAGAGAGAGAGAGAGCAAAAUUAAAGAAAUAGAAAGAGAAAUAGAGUCGAGGUCAGAGAAAGUGAGAGAGUUGGGAUUUAAAAAAAAAAAAAGAUCACGAAGAGAGAGCUUAGUUUAGAGAGAGAAAGAGUUGAAGUUUGGAGAGAAAAAGAUAAGUUUAGAGAGAGAUAUGAGGUUAGAGUGUAAAGAAAAAUAAUACCAACUAGUCGGCAGGUAGGGAGAAAGAAAGCUAUUAGAUAUUUUAUGAUUACUCAAAAUCAUUAAUACGAGGAUACCCACUCUCUCUUAAGGAAAUGGGAUUAGUACUUUGUAUGAAUUUCAUUCCCAAAUAAAUCGAAUUCUAAAUAUCUAAUAAUCACAAAAUAGGUAGUACCAUACUAUUAAUAAUAUUUCAGUAUAAUUAUAUAAACAAAUAUAAUAGGAUGAGACAGCUAUAUGGUUUUUUAAACUCCUGUAAGACGAGACAGCAAUAUGGUUUUUAAACUCCUGUAAGACAAGACAACUAUAUAGAGUUUUAAAAUGCACAAUUAUUUUGAUGUCUCCAUCAAGAUAUGAUGGGGAAAUAUGUACUAGAAUCUUAUACAUCUAUAUAAUUGCCUAAUAUUUCAUAUUACACGUGAAGGUGUUUUGUUAGCUUGCUCUUAAAAAAAGACUCUUUAUAAUAAAUAAUCUUGCAAAAAGAGGCUGGACAGGUAAUACAUCUUGCGUGUUGUGUGGGGCCGAAGUUGAAAAUAUGGACCAUUUUUUUUCUCGAUGUGUUCUUACUCGUUUUCUUAUUGUGAAGUCUGUGGAGGAUGCUCUCAAUACGGAUCUGGAUGACGACGUGGGCUCUCUUUGGGAUAGGUGUUUGAUCGGGAGUCGUUUGCGUCCAUUCAACGAUUGUUUGAAUGGCUUAAUAUCUUGCUGGUGGGUUACUUGGCUGGCUAGGAAUUACACGAUCUUCUGUAAUGUCAUACCGAAUCCCAUGUUAUUAGUCUCCAAAAUCAAUCUGCUCACGAACUCUUGGAAACAGGCUUACUCGACUAGUCCAGUAGUCUCCGGUUUUUUUUUUUUUUUUUUCGUGCCAUGUCUCGCUGGAGGCCUUGGUUGCUUCAUCUCUGUACUUUAAUUCAUUUCUUCAUUGAAUGAAGUGGGUAGCGUGCUACCUAUUUCUCAAAAAAAAAGAAAUUUCAUAUUACAAGUAGACAAAUUGCAUUAAUUUAAUUUGUCCAUUCACAAGUAUACAAACUUUUUUUUAGAUAAAUUUAGAUGUGCAUCAAGAUCUCCGCAAGCUUCAGCUUCGAGAUGCUCACCUCUGUGAUGCACAUAAUUAUUAUUGGAAAAACUUCAAAAACCCCCCUGUGGUUUUGUAGUUUCUGACUUUGUCCCUCUGUGGUUUAAAAUGUAUCAAUUUGCCUUUCUGUGAUUUCUUUUUUCUCUUUUUCUUAUCAAUUUUAUUAUUUUUUUUCUUAAAUCAGUGAUAAAGUUAAAAUUAAAGAGUAUUAAAAUAAAUAUUUGAUAAAUCUAGAUGAGUAUUUAAAGUUUUUUGUAUAUAAAUUAAUGAAAUAUUAACGAAAAAACUACCGAAAAGAUAAAAACGAAACCACAGGAGGGCAAUUUGAUACAUUUUAAACCACAGGAGGGCAUAAACCACGGGGUUUUUUUUGAAGUUUUCCCAUUAUUAUUCCCAUUUUGUCAAAGCUCAUUCGUAAAUUUGAUUAAUAGUUUAUUUAUAUAAUAUGAUUUCGUAGCUUGUCAGUCGUGAAUUUACUAAAUUCUAUAACAUCGUGGACGUAUUUAUCAACUUACGUACGAGGGUUAAUUCUCUUUUCUUCGACUAACUCAUCAGAGAUGUACUAAAUAAGAUGCAUGUUACGAUGUCCACUUUUAUAUACACUUUUAUAUACAAAUGUUAUGCCAUGCAUGGAGAUUUAUAUUGUAAAUAUUAAACUUAUUUUCCUAUCUAACCACAAGAAAUAUUAAAACUAAUUAACCAUAAGUGGAUCGAUCAAUUAAUAUAGAAUGAUUUAUGAUUUUUGGUAUACUCCAACUCAUCUAGUUAGUUAGUAGGCCUCCAAUCACAACACUAUUCAUCUCUUGCCAAUUAGGUCAUAACCUUCUUAAUUAAUUGUUUUGUAAUGCAAAAUUAAGCACAAAUAUCAAAGUUUUAAACAAGUAUAUAUAUAAAGCUCAAUUAGGUUAUAUCUAGUAAUCGUUAGUUAGGGCCUAAUUAUACUUUAUUAAUCUCUAAAAUAUGCCGACGGUUAGGUGUAAGAUGAUCGUCAAUGAUGUCAGAAAAAGUUUUAGAUUAACUGCUAAUAAUGGAAAGGUUAGGUUUAAGAAGAUUGAUUUGUGUUAAACAAGUACUAAUGUAGGUAAAGCAUUGGUCUCAAGUCCCAUUAAAGUAGAGCCAAGUUAAAAGGAUUGAUCGAAUCGAGUACGAAGCACAGUCACAAUGUUCCUCAUGCAUUUAUUAAAAAGUUCAUUAAUGAUUUAUGAUUGUUUAGUUGUUCAUAUUUUCUCUGAAUCAUCCACUAGCAUAUUAAUAGAGCUAUAUAUAUCCAUAUUUUAGGAAAUAAUCAAAGUUUAGGAACUUAUUAAAGUUUCUUUGGUAACAAAAAAUUUGAGAUAUCGUACGUUGUUAUCAUAUAUCAUAAAAUAAAAAUAUAUAAAAUUUAUCUGAAUUAAUGAUCAUUUUGAUUUGACAAUUUAGUCUUUCAAAAUUUUAAGUUUAGUAUCCAGUCUUUUAUUUUAUUUUUUCACUUAGUCAUUCCGUGCCUAUUUCGAUACAAAUUUAAACUAAUUACUAAUUACUUUAAUGAAUUUGUAGUAAAAUAAAUUGCAUAAAAUGUACUAAUAAAUCUAUAAAGAUAAGUAAUAAAUUUAAAUUUUGAAGUUAAUAGGUCAUUAACCGGUUCGAAUUAACUAAAUUAAAAGAACAAAUAGCAAAAUUAAAAUUUUUAAAGAAUGAUUACUUAAUUCAAGUAAAAUAACAUUGAGAUAAGCCCUAUGUAUUUUUACCUACAUAAUGAUAAUAAACAAGUUGGGUCACUUUCAUGAUUAAGAACCCUAUGAGGAAGUAAUGGACCAACUGGAUCUGACAUGCAGGUGAGGCUUUAAAGCUUUACUUGGUAGGGGGUUUGAAUCAAGAAUCAAAUACCUAUUCCAUAAAAAUAUAUAUGAUUUUCUAUUUCAUUCUGGCACGUGUGUGUUUAUAGCUAAGCUACUAUACUUUCAAAAGUAUGAAGGUUUCUGUACGUCUAAAUAAUUUUUGAUGAUGUUUUAUCCGACUCGGCAAUCGGCUCUGUUAAAUAUAAUUGAUAAUGUUAAAAUUAUCUAGAAACUAGCUUUUCUAAUUUUUUGACUUUGCUUAUCUAAUAAAUAAAUAUCCUCAAAAUGAACAGUUAAAAAUAAAAAUUUUAUAAAAAAUAGUGAUAAUAGGUUUAAAGUUUUAAAUCGAAAAUAUUAAUCUUACUCUUGAUGACAAAUAGAAUUUUUUGUUUAGGUUUUACCUAAUUCGGAUUGUUUACAUCGUCGAACUUACAAACGUACCACCUCAGUCAUUAAAAUAGUUAUUUUUGAGAAUUUGGCAAACAAUGUCAGAAAUUAUAAAAUUUAGCUUUAGAUAGUUUUAAUAGCGUAAAUUAUACUUAAUGUUGCAGAUUGUCGAAUCGUAUUUAUACUUAAUGUUGCAGAUUGUCGAAUCGAACGUCCUAUCAUCGAAAAUAAUUUGAAAGUAAGGAGACCUCCAUACUUUCGAAACCAUUUAUCUUGUCACUUAUGUUGUUCCAGUGCACUGCAUAUUAACUUAUGUUAGCAAGAUAAUUCGACCGUCCCAUAAGGUUUGUAAGGAUUUUGAUCUUUUUCGGAGACUCCGUCAAAAUUUUCGUAAUUCUAUUUUCAUUUUAGAUGCAAGUUUAUCAAAAAAAUCGUAUUCGGAUUCGGAGUGCCAGGACUAUAAAUAUUGUGAGUGUGACGAAGGAAAGAGACACCCCCUCUUCAACUCACAGAAAAAAAUAAUCUUUUACACAUAUAUUCCAACUCCAGAGGAUUUUGGAAUAACAGUACGGCUGGUAAAUGAGCGAGCCAGCUCAUGUUUAGCUUAGUAUUCAGCUUUCACAAGCUGGCUUGAAAUUAAAUAAGUCGGUUUUAAACAGGAAAAAAAAACUCGAAAUUUAUUUCAAUCCGAGUUUGAGUAUUACAGGGCUCACUCAAAUUAGACUUGAAAAUGUGAUGCCCCAACUUCCCAGGGGGUUACCCAUCCUAAGACUACUCCCAUCCUAGCACGCUUAACUCUCUUAACCUCUUGGGCCUUACCACCACCCAAAAUGCUUAAGCCGGGUUAAGAGUUUAGCCAUAUUAUAUCUCAUAUAUAGGACUAUCUGGGGUCUCACAAUCUCCCCUCCUUUAAGCCUUGACGUCCUCGUCAGGCUCAGACUCACAAGUAUCAGGCGAUGUGAGACUCAUCUCGCUAGCCCGUCAUCCAGACCCUGGCUCAGCUGAGACUCAUCUCACACUUCCGACUGGUAAUUGGCUCUGAUACCAUCUGUGACGCCCCGACUUCCCAGGAGGUCACCCAUCCUAGGACUACUCCCGUCCUAGCACGCUUAACUCUCUUAACCUCUUGGGUCUUGCCACCACCCAAAAUGCUUAAGCCGGGUUAAGAGUUUAGCCCUAUUAUAUCUCAUAUAUAGGACUAUCUGGGGUCUCACAAUCUCCCCUCCUUUAAGCCCUGACGUCCUCGUCAGGCUCAGACUCACAAGUACCAGGCGAUGUGAGACUCAUCUCGCUAGCCCGUCAUCCGAACCCUGGCUUAGCCGAGACUCAUCUCACACUUCCGGCUGGUAAUUGGCUCUGAUACCAUCUGUGACGCCCCAACUUCCCAGGGGGGUCACCCAUCCUAGAACUACUCCCGUCCUAGCACGCUUAACUAUUGGGGUUGUUAUUGGAUUUAUAAGAGACUUAGACACUAGUAAUAAUAACUGGGCUUAAGCAUUUUGGGCCGGUGGUUGGGCCCAACGAGUUGGGGUUGUCAUUGGGUUUAUAAGAGACUUAGACACUAGUAAUAAUAACUGGGCUUAAGCAUUUUGGGCCGGUGGUUGGGCCCAACGAGUUAUUAUUGCUAGUGGGCUGGAUCGUUACAGUUGGUAUCAAAGCCGGUUCACCAGCUGGACAUGUGUUGCGAGUCUUGGCUGAGUCAGGGUCUGGAUGACAGGCUAGCGAGACGAGUCUCACAUCGCCUGGUGAUCUUGGGCUAUGUGUAUGAUUGGACUGACGAGGACGUCAAGGCCUUAACGGGGGGAGUCUGUGACGCCCCAACUUCCCAGGGAGGUCACCCAUCCUAGGACUACUCCCGUCCUAGCACGCUUAACUCUCUUAACCUCUUAGGCCUUGCCACCACCAAAAAUGUUUAAGCCGGGUUAAGAGUUUAGCCCUAUUAUAUCUCAUAUAUAAGACCUGUCACGGGUCGAUUGUUGGGACUCGACCGUGACACCUUCGGGGGCCAUAUUUGGUAGGCACUUGGGUUGACGAAGUUAUGGAGUUGCGGAGUUGAGGCGUUCCGUCAGGUAGGAGUCGCCGUCAAGUCAACGAAGGCAAUUCCCUAGCAAUGGCCCGUGCCAUGACAUGGAAAUAGGUGCCGCAUGCGGGGUUGGAAAACGUACCCCUCGGUGAGCACCUUCGUACCCCCGAGGUGCCAAAGGAGUGGAUGCCUCGUAAGGGUACUAGAGGAGGGGUGGACACUUCGUAAGUGGCCCUCGACUCCCAUAGGUUCGCCUCAUAAGGCCCCAUACAAACGAACCGGCCUCGCUCCGCAUCGCUAGCCACUGGCCCCUCCUUGGCUCGACCACGCCUGGCCGCUUACACCAUUGGUCCAGUCUCUCAAGGUUCACUAUACGGAUACCGAUACCGCUCGCCUCCUUGGGUUUCGCCCCUCGAGUCUCGUAGGCUACCCACCAGGCGAUGUAAGACUCAUCUCGCUAGCCCGUCAUCCAAACCCUGGCUCAGCUGAGACUCAUCUCACACUUUCGGCUGGUAAUUGGCUCUGAUACCAUCUGUGACACCCCGACUUCCCAGGGGGUCACCCAUCCUAGGACUACUCCCGUCCUAGCACGCUUAACUCUCUUAACCUCUUGGGUCUAGCUACCAUCCAAAAUGCUUAAGCCGGGUUAAGAGUUUUAGCCCUAUUAUAUCUCAUAUAUAGGACUAUCUGGGGUCUCACAGAAAAGCCCGAAUAUAUAUUGAGAGAAAUAUAAUAUAUAUAUUAUUUUAAUUAUAGAAUAAUAAUAUAUAAUAUAUAUUAUGUAUUUUAUUUAUAUGUACAUAGAGUUUUAGUUAUCAAACAUAUUUGCUGGCCCACAAAACCAUAGCAGCAAAAUUCUACUAAAAUUACUCUCUCUCUCUCUCUCUCUCUCUCUCAUAAUCGCUUCUGCUAAAUUAUUUUUCUUAAUAUUAUAAUACCGUAUUCAUGCAUUUUUUUAUAUGUUGAACUAUUAGACAUUUUUUUUUUAUCAAAUUUUAGAUAAUAUUCCAUAAAAAUUAAACUAUAAAUUGCAUAAUUUUAAGAAUUUUAAGUGGCUCGUUUAGGACUCGAGCUCACUCGACUCGAAAUUAGGCUCGUUUGAGCUCGGCUCGAAUUAAUUUCAAGCCAAGCUUGAGCCUAUUUCAAACCAAGCUUGAGCUGAAAUAAGCUCGCUCAAGCUCGACUCGUUUCCACCCCUAAGUAACAAUAGUUCUCUAUUUUCACCAAAAGUAGGAGUAACUUCGGUAGUUUUCAGUAGCAGCAGUUUCGGUUAGUUUAGUAGUUGUAGCUUUGGUGGUUCAUUUUCUAAUGUUUUCAGCCAUUUUGGAAGUCUAAACUGAAACUCCAAGUUCUUGAGGUGCUCCAGCUUCAGUAGGAGGUAACCGAGACCAAUUCACCCAAGUUCGGCUCCAUUCAAGCGUUCAAUUGUAGCUUACUUUAAGGAGAGUCAUUCUAGAACAGGGAUGUCAACGGGCCGGGUUUGGUUCGGGAUUUUUAAAAAUCCGAAUCUAAGCCUGAAAAUCAAAUUAAACCCGAAUUCGGAUUCGAACCCGGUGGGUUUUUAAAAUCCACACCCAUAUCCAAACCCGACCAAUUACUCGAAACCUGAACUCGAAAAUCCGAACCUGAAAUAAUAAUUUCUCUUUAUCAUAUUUCAAAAUAUAUUAUAGUAAAAUCAAAAUUUUCAAAAUAAAAUUUUCAAAACACAAUCAAAUACAACAUUAAAACAUUCAUGCUAUACAAUAUCAACAUCUGGAUAAGAAAAGCACAAAUUCAAACAGUUAAAGACAACAAAACAUUCUUUAAAUACCUAAUACAAUCUCUAGAUAUCAAAAUGUUAUAUAAUUUAUUCGGGUUCGGAUUCGGGUUCGGUCGGGUAAAUGCAAAAUCCAUGCUCGUAUCCAUAUUCGUCGGAUUUUUAUUUUCUAUACCCCUAACCGAAUCCAUAUCCAUUUAGCUCGGAUAAACUCGCUCCAUUCAGGUUCGGGUUCAGGUUCUCAAGCCAAAAAACUUAAGUUCACAACUAUUACAACUCCUUCACUGUCUUUUUUUUUUUUUUUUUUUUUGAGAGAUAGGUAGCAUGCUAUCCGCUUCGUUUAUUUCAUUUAGAAAUAAACUUAGCUAAAAAUGUGAAUCAAUUAGGAUUUGAAUUUGGGAUCUCGGGUAUCAACCACCAAACCCUUUGUCACUUGCACUAGGGACGGUCGGUACUCCUUCAAUGUCAACCAAUAAUUUUUAUUUUGUUUUCUUUCGGCGAACAAUUUUGGCACGCUCGAUAGGACCCAUUGCAAGAAACAUAUCUUGACCUUAGCAUUAAUGAUGAACACAAGAAACAGUUAGAACAACGACUACAACAGGUCGAAGAAUGCACUACUUGCGGAGUUGCACGAGUUAAGCGUGCAUGCAUGUACACGUGAUAAUUAUUUUAUUAUUUAUCUUAAAUCAACAUAAAUUUAUGUAUUAUAUCUGAACGAGUCUUAAACAUGAGGAUUGAAAAUGUCCUCGGAGUCCAAUUCGGUCUGAACAACAAGAAAAAAAAAAAAAAACAGAAGAAAAAGAAUAAAAGUGAAAAGAAAAUAUAAUAAAAAUUAUAAAUUCUAAUUGUAUCUUUCAUGCUCUGAAGCACAACAUGUAAUUUCUUUUACAAAAGUAUAUGCUAUUGUAAAAUAACUUAUAUUUUAUUCUGUUCGAGACUUUUGAUGCAUUUGGAUUAAAGUUGAUUGAUUUUUUUUGGUUUUUUUUUUUCGCAUUUCACAUUUUUUUUUCUUCAAAAAAGAAUAUUAAAUUUAUACUAUAUUUCUUCUAAUUUUUUUUUAAAAUUAGUUUUAUUUUUCUCUUAAAAUAAUAAUUAAUCCUUUCUUUUAGAUUGUAAUCAAUCUAUAUAUUUGAUCCCUUUUUAAAAAAUUUUUAAAUUAAAAGAUCGACUAAAUAGGUCUCGGAGCUCCAACAAAUUGUUGGAGCCCCCGAGGCUCCAACAUAUAUUUUUUUAAUAUUUUUUAUUGAAUACUUUAUAUAUUUAUUUAUAUAUAUUAGCUAAGUGUACAUACAAAUACACGUGAUAAUUAUUUUAAUAAUUAUUUUAAAUCAACAUAAGUUUAUAUAUUACAUUUAUUUAAAAAUUUAUGAUAAAAAUUUAACUUUUAAAAAAUUAAAUUCAUUUGUUAUAUUUUAUUAGAAAAUACCUAUCAAAUUCUAGCUUAAAUUUAAAUGGUUGUUGCCGAUAAUAAUUAGAUAAUUUUAUUUUAUUUUUUAUUAUAUUAAAUAUUUAUGCAUAUUUUUCAAAUUCUGACAAACUCAAAAUUGAAAUAUGCGUUUUAAAUUAAAAGAAUCAAAGUUUUAAUUCACCUUUAACUCAUAAUUUAAAAUUUAAUUUUGAUCCACUUUAAUUAAAAUUUUUCUUUAUUAAUUCUAAUUUUAUAAGCAAAACUAAAUUUAAUUUAUGAUAAAGUCAAAUUUUAAUUUUAAUCUAAAAUUCAUAAAUUUAAGUUUAAGUCGUAUAAUUAAAAUUUAAUUUUAAAUUUAAGAUGAAAUAAAAAUUUAAGAUCAAAUAAUAUUAAAAUCUAAAUAUAUAUUUGAUAUUAAACUCAAAUUUGAUUGUCGAUUAUAAUUAAUAAAAAGUUAAUAUAACAACUAAAUAUUAGUAAAUAAUAUUGAGAUAAUCUAAAAAUAUUUACCUAAAAAGAAAAGAUAUAGAAUAAUAUAAAAUAUUUAAUUAAAAAAAUUAUUCGCACCGACCGUUCCUAGGCAUGUGACAAAGUAUUUGGUGAUUGAGAUCGGAAGUCCAAAAUUCAAAUUCUUGUUGAUUCACAUUUUCAACUAAAUUUAUUUUUUUAAAAAAUAGCAUGCUAUCAAAAAUAUUUUCCACCAAAAAGUGAGUUUGUUCAUUUCUUUGUUAGUUAAUUCGCGAAUUAUUGAAAAUCCGAAUUGAACGGUCUGUCUAUGAAUUUUUUCCAAAGAAAAUGAAUUAUUCGCGAAUUAUUCCCAAAUUAUUAAAAAUCUAAAUAAAAAAAUAUAAUUUUUUUAUUUAAAUAUAGAUCUUAUAUUUUAUAUCAUAUAUUUUAUAUUUUAUACCGAAUUCGUUUUUUAAGCCGAAUUUUUCAACAAAUUUAAAAAUUAGAAAAUAAAUUUUAUAUGUAUUAUACCCGUAUUGAAUUUUUGUCGAAUUCGAGAGGGUAUCAACUACCAAGUCCUUUGCCACUUGCACUAGGGACGGUCGGUUUUAGUGCUGGUAAUUUUAUGCACUAAAUAUGAUGGAUUCUUCAUGCAAUUGCCACACAAGAAACUUUUGGGCCUUGAUCCAAUGGUGUUAAUGGACCUUGCUUCAUGUAUUAUGAAAAAAUAUUGCAUAUACUUGAUAAUUGAUAUCUAAGUUUUCAAAUUUGAAAUUUAGUUGUUUUAUACUUUUAAUUAAAUUUAUUUUUUAAAAAAAGUAAGUGAUGCAGGUAUUUUAUAUAUAUCUCUUUCUUUUAUAUAAGAAAAACCUUGCUCUAUAGUAGAAAGUAGGGGAAACGAGCGAACACGAGUAGGCUGGGGUCGGCUCGUGUUCGGCUCGUUUAAUAAAUGAGCCGAACACGAGCCUGUUAAAGUAUCGACCGAAAAAUUCAGCUCGUGUUCGGCUCGUUUAAAACGAGCCGAACACGAGCUGGUGACGAGCUGGCACGAACAAUAAAUUAAAAAUAAAUAAAAUUAAAUAUAUAUAAAAAAUAAAUUUAUAAACUCUUACAUUUAGACUUUGAUCUAAUAGUUGAAACUUUACAUAUAAAUGAGUCUUUUUAUAAUUGAGCUCGCAUUUAUAUUUUUAUUUUGCUAAAAAUUAAAUAAUAAAAAUAUAUAUUAUAUAUAAUUAUUUAUUUAUAUAUAAAAAUAUAAAUUAAAUAAAUUAUAUAAAUAUAAAAUAUAUUAUAUAUAAUUAUUUAUUUAUAUAUAAAAAUAUAAAUUAUAUAAAUUAUAUAAAUAUAAAAUAUAUGUAUUCGAACUGUUAUCGAGCCGAAUACUAGCGAGCUGAAUAUAUUUAUCUCAAUAUAUUUAUCUCAAUAUAUUUAUUUAACGACUCUUUGUUCGACAGAAUUAAUCUGGGGGAUAUUUUAAAGCGGGUUAUUAUUUAAAGUAUUUUUAAAUGUAAAAUUUGUUAUAUUACUUGCAAUCUCUAUACAUUAGUUUUGCCACCAUAUUACGAGCACAAGCAUUGAUACAGCUCGUAUGGAAUAUCAUUUUUAUAUAAUAUCGAUAUCUUAACAAUCAUUAUAUGGAGAGUUUUGAUUUGCCUGAUUGGUUGAUGAACGUGUAUUUAA
Molecule: long non-coding RNA, 82619 nt
Filed under: Ananas comosus (pineapple)
Lineage: Eukaryota; Viridiplantae; Streptophyta; Magnoliopsida; Poales; Bromeliaceae
Description: long non-coding RNA (ACOM_LNC029689)
Source: RNAcentral